This 67369-nucleotide long non-coding RNA is filed under the name Triticum aestivum (bread wheat). RNAcentral's name for it is "long non-coding RNA (TAES_LNC007459)". The stretch from base 52709 to 52843 matches the Rfam family "MIR1120/MIR1122 microRNA precursor family". The record is from RNAcentral. Lineage: Eukaryota; Viridiplantae; Streptophyta; Magnoliopsida; Poales; Poaceae.
UCAGGGCUUCAGGCUCAGACGUGGUGUGCCGUCUAAAAUAAAGCUCAGAUGAUGAGCCAGCUUGUCACAGUGUUUGUGCGUGCCUGUGGCUCCACCUUGCAUACCGACAAUACAUACGCUGUUGUCGGUCGUCGUUGUUUCAUCACCGUCAUUGUUCUUCGUUUUAAUUUCUUCUUCAAGAGUUGUCUGUUGUUGCUCGCCUUUCAGGUGCCUGUUGUAUCAUCCGCGAAUAAAAACGUGUGUUGGUUGUGUGUCUCAGCUUAAAAUGCCUUUGGUCAUGUCACGCCAUUUUCUUAGGGACAUGGCUUUAAUAUCUUUCUACUUGUCUGCACUGUAGAGAACUCUUAUUGUCCUACUAUUCUCUCUCCCAAAAUUCGAAAUUUUUGGCUGCCAAAUUGUCUGUAACAUUCAGAGUGCUCAGACUAUUGGUAGAUCUACCCUCUUGGUCCCAAUGCAUACAUAUAUGUGCCAAAUAAUAAAUUUAUUGUGUCUACUUUAAGUCUAUAUAUAAGGAAAUGCGUAAAGAAAUACAGAACGUAAUUGUUCACGUGUGUCGCCCUUGAGAAGGUAUGAGAAUCAUCCCCACCACCCCUGCCCCUAGCCCCAGGUCUCUCGCUCGUUCCAUUGGCGGCAACAAUCCAUUGCAAACUCGAUGUCGGGAGGUAGGCUGGAUGCCGGCUGCUUAUAGAUCCAAAUGAGUAAGAGCAUCUACAGUCGGGCGUCUCAAACCUUUCUCAAACGCCCGGACGACCGUCGCAAACUGGCUUCAAACACUGACCGGCACCCUCAUAUCCAACCCAAAAAUGUGGCGGAUAUGGGGGCGUCUUGGCAUGCCCGGGACAGCCCGCCACAUCGGACCCGGCCGACGUUGGCCCACCCGAUCGCACAUACAUUCGUCCUCAUCCGCUCGCCGAAGCAAAUCCUAGCCACUUCACUCCACUCUCCAAUGGUCUUGCCGGAUUUACUGAGUCCGGCUGUAGAUGCUCUAAUAAGAGGCCAGGGUGCUCACCAAUGCAACUUACUCCUUUACUUUGGUAAAUAUCAUCAAUUAAAUAUAUCGUGUGAUGUAGACAUGUAGUUAAUAUGGAUGCAAGCCAUUUUCUUCUUGGAAGACAUUGCAACGAUCCGUGGAGUGUUUUUACCUUGCAUUUUACAUGUUACAGUGCCUAUUCUUUGCGGCAGAAAUUUACCAUGGCUCGAUGGUGUCUGCACUUGUUGCCAGCCACCUGUGCCUUCUAUAGCCGUAGUACGUACUCCGUACAAGUUUUGCAUGUGGUACUGGGCUCGUCAUCAUGGCUUGAUGCAAUCUCAAGCUCACGUGGAAGUAGUGGCCGCCUGGCCGGCCAUGCGACAUUUUCCCUUUCUUUAGCAAAGGCUAUGCGACAUUGACUGGCUCAGUGAUGCCGUUUCUAUCAUGCAAGGGGCAACUUCUUCUAUCACACAAGGGCCAAGUUCUGUGCGUACAAAUAGAACGUGAAAGCUGUGUGUUUACAACUGCAGUAAUUUGCGCCCGUGCAAUCUGCACUGCAGUACGCGACAGCAGGUCCUGAAGCUCCCACGCGAGUAGUAUGUUUUUUCUCGCUGGUGAACACUUUUACCAAUUGAAGACCGUGUUCUGGUUUAAGAAGAACAUGGAAGAUCGUUUGAUUUGCUGCAAAGGGAGUCGUAUGCCUAUUUUUCUUGUCGGUGACCUGGCUUUAGUAAGGUUUGUCCCUUUGUUAUCGCCCCAAAGAAAAAGACUGUAGCCCUUGGUGGUUUAGUUUAUAGAAGAAACACAUGAGCCACACAGUGCUAAGUCCAGGACUCGAACACUGGUGGGCAGCGAACACGCCCGUGCUGCUAAACACACGUGCGACACUUGGUUCUCCUAAUUUGAAUUUGAUACACAAAGUUACAAGCCAUGUGUAUCCUUUUAGCGCAUUAUUUCUCUACCAUGGCGUGCCUAUCUAUAUACCUUCACAGUCCAUAUUAAUCUUAUGAAAUGUGGCGGUGACGUGACGCGGAGACAAGUAAGGGGUGAGUAAAGUGGCGGUGGUAGAUAUGUGAAGAUAGUAGCCGUGUAGACCUGAUGUGUAUUGGAAAGGGAAUUGUUCAUGUCAAACGAAACCGAGGUAACUCUAUAAAGUGAUAAGGAACUUUUUUGAACAUUAGUAAGGCAGCUCUUUAUUCAUGUCACAGAGUCAUUGCAUACAAUGUCCUGGAUGCGACCAGGAGUAAUAUCACGGAUGAGAGAGUAAGAACAAAGCUCACUCCUCCUAGACUUCCUAAUCCCAAGCCAUAGAAGCAAAGUCAAAAUAUUUCAAAAAAGAAAAGGUAAACUUCUUAAUGUACAGACACGUAUUUCAUAUUUACCCUGUCACACCUAUUAGUUCAAUAGCAGUGAUCCGCCUCGUUUUUGUUGGCCACCUAUUAGAUCCAAAGAAGCAUAGGCUAGUUGUGAGAGAGUAUGUAGUAUAACGAGUCUAUUUAUGAGGUAAUUUUUUUAGUGAAUAAUGAAAAUGUGCUAGCUUUUGAAGUAAGAAAACUUUAUGAUUAUAUGUAGGUUAUUAAUGAAAUGUGUUUGUGGUACUUAGGUUGAGUGAGGUUUUCUUUUGUCUAAGUCGAUGAUGCUAGCGGUCCGAUGUAAUCUCAAUACACUUAUCCAUGCAUGACACGUAGGAAAGCUCAAUGUGUUGACUUAGACAUUAAAGAAUCUCAAAAAACUUAUAAUCAGAAACACGCUUAAACUUUACAUGUAUCCAUUUGGUCCAGGUAUGUCCUAUACUCAAGGAGGCGAGAGGUGGUGCAUGAGCUAUGUGCAGGAUACAUUUGAAGAUCGUGUUCCAAGUGUCUUCACCAAAUACAGAUGGAGAUGUUUUUGAAAGGUUAUAGAUGAAGACAUAACAAUUAGCUUGGCCUAGAUUUGGCCUACAAGUCGAAUGAUUGCCAAUUUGCAUGUCCAUUGAACAUGUGAAAAAAAAUAUGUGUGUAGUGGUGCACGUUGUGUGUCGAACUUUAUCAUCCCACUCACCCAGUUGAUGGCACGCGGGCAUGGUAGAUUGGAAAGUAAGGCGCCAAAUCUGCACCUAUAAAUAGAGGUGCUACUAACUCUGGCCAAUAACAGCAAUUACAACAUAGUAUUCCACUCACAACCUAAAGAGAUAAGUGAGAGACAUUUGCUCGAAAACCUUAAAAUCAACCAUGAAGAACACCAAGCUCGUGGCGAUCCUUGUCCUCCAGGCCAUCCUGGUCAUGGGAAUCCUCCCACACGUGAAUGGUUCGUAGUUGUUCAUGCUUCUUUAUUCUAUUUGUUUCCUUAAAAAAGUUUGAUUGCCUUUUUGCAAUUCCAUUGAUGUCUUAUAUACCUUAUAAGUGAUUACUAACAUGAUACCAUGCUAUGUGUGCGUGCAGCCAACUACUUCCCCAAGUGUUGUGACAAAUGCAGGUCAUUCUCGGGGGUCGAUGUAUGUGACGACGCCCAUCCUCAGUGCCCCAAGGGCUGCUCCACAUGCCGCGCGGUGCAGACAGGCCGUGUCAAGAUGUUCCGGUGUGCCGACAUGCGCUCCACCAUCAAUGCCACGUUGCAAAAAGAACUAACCAGUUCAACUCAGAUCACAAGACUUGUUCCGCCAAUAAGAGAAGCUCAUAUAAGAUGAGAAUUGUCACCGUAUUUAUGCGUACAUGUGGCCUCACAAUGCACGCUGACAAUGCAUCGAGUAAUAAGAAUGCCAGUGAUCCUCCCGGUUCCUCAGCCGUUUGGGAUUCCUGGCCGUCGGAUCGGCUGGCUUGAUCGGAUCUGGGCCGUCGGAUCGACCCCUAGAGCGACCGCGUCCGUCGGAUCAAAAAAAGUUACUGCUGGAAUGAAUAGUUACUACCGUUUCGCGCCACCGCGCGUAAUUAGUCUGCCCCAUCGGGGGCAUUUUCGUCAUUUCGCCUGCAGGUGUAUAAAACUUGACCACCCGCGUGGAGAUGACCUAGCCCGCACUCGCGCCCCCUCCCUCGUCCUCGCCGCCCCGCCCGCAUCGCCCCGCCCUCUCCCCUCCUUCUCCCGCCCGCAAUGCCGCCGCCCCGCCCGCAUCGCCGCCGCCCUUUCCUCUCCCUCUCCCUCCCUCAGUCCUCGCCGCCCCGCCUGCGUUCUUCCCCAUCUGCUGCUACCUGCGUUCUUCCCCAUCCGCCGCCGCCGCCCCCAGCCUCCGCCCCCAGCUGCACCUAGUCAUCGCUCCUCCCGCACAGCCGCACUCGCACCGCCCCCUUCCCCUUCCUCUCGCCUCACCUCUCUUUCCUUCCAAAUCUCCUCCCGGCCUCGCCUCUUCCUUCCUUCUCCUCCGGCGCCUCCUCCCCGUUGGCUCCUUCUUGCCCCUCCUCCGCCGGUCCUCCUUCUCCUACGUCACCCGGAGGGGUGCAGCUGUCGCUUGCGUUGUAGCUCCCCCUAGGAGCUCGCGCGCCUGAUCCCGCGGCAGUAAGGGGCCGCGGCAGCCGCCGCACAGCCUGACGACCAGGAGCUCCCCGGCGUGGUUCCCUGGAUGGAGGGAUGCUUCCUCCAUCACUGCCUUCUCCGUGCCGACGCCAUCAGUAGCGGCGGCGGUCGGGCUGAUGCGAUGCGACUGCAAGCUCGUCGUGAGAGCAGCGGCAACGGUAAGCUCACCACUCCUUCGUGUUGCACCUGCUAGACCUCCAGGUGCAUCUCUCCCCCCUCCCCCUCUCCCUCCCUAGAGAAUCUGGACCUGGAGAUUUCAAACUGCUGAGCGUGGAAUAGAAAACCCUAGCAAUUUGGUGUGGUGUUCAUAGAGAGGCAGAUCCAGCUUUGCAUUUUUUUCUCAUGAUGUUGUGUUCUUCAAUUUUGCAUUGUGUGAAUAGGUUAGAAUUGAGGGGGUGGGUAGAACUAGAUGUGUCCUAGGUAUCUGCACAGUAGUUUUUGUUGCCUUCCUUAGCUUGUUGGGUACCUGUUUAUUUUCUGUUUAGGAGGACCGAUUUGUCAUGAGGUUGUAUCCUUUCUCAAGGAAUUUUUUGUUCCUAUCUGAUACUAGCAGACAAAUUGGUUGCAGGGUAGCCAGGGUAGGUCUUUCUGCAUAUGCAUUUGAAUAUGAGAUGUCUCAAGAUUGUUGGUCUACUUCUUUUGGUCUUAUACUGACUCUGUCUUUGGUCAGGACAACUUUGAACAACUUGUGUGUCCCUCUCAGAUUCCUACAGAAGAAAGGAUACAUUUUCUUUUCUAUUGGAUGGACAACAAAAUAACCACAACAAUAGGUCUAUCAGGUAAUUGGCCAUGUGUCUUUAUCCAUCUGUAGUUAGAACUUAUAUGUCAGAUUGUGCAAACCACCUCGAUUGUCAUCUAAAUAUUAUCACGAUCUUUCUUUUUUUGUUUAGCCUAGCAAAGGUCAAAUUGCUUCUUCUUUUCAAAAAGUAAUUUCUGAUGUUUGGAGUUUGUGCCUCCAGGAUCUUGGGCUUCUACUAAUCUUUUUUGAACUUUGUUAAUUUUGUCAGAAGAAGCAGGAGCGAAGCAAAGGCAGGAUUCCAUGGUGAGUUUGGAGUUUACCCUCUGUUGAAAUUGGCUCUCAUGCGAGCCGCGACCUUUUCUUAGCCAUGGUGAGUUUGAGGCUUACCCUCUGUUCUUGCUAGCCAAAAUUGGUUUCUCACUGAAUAAUGUUCAUCACACUAUACUCAAGAAUACAAAGGAAGCUACCCAAAUGUGAUAGAUCCUACUCUUCGGCAGCUUAAAUUUAAAGAUGUAGUAGCUGAACAAGACUAGGAUCAUGUUUAUGAUGCAUUUUCCAUCGAUACAGAGGUAUGAAUCAUUGAAUCCUAUGAUUGACAUUGUAAAAACUCUCAGUGAGCAGCCUACCUCCUGAAUUAAUAGUGAGAAGCCAUAUAUUUUCCUUUUAGGUGUAAAAAAUAGUAAAAGAUGAGGUAGCCAUCUCCUACUAAAUUAAUAGUGAGAAGCCUACCAGCUGAAUUUUAUUCUUAGAUGAUAUGAAGGAUUAUCGAUAUUUACUAUUUAGGAUGUAUACAUAUAUGUUACUGGUCUUAUGAUAUUGUUAGCAAAAGUUUUAGUGCUCUUUAUGGUCGACAGUGGCGUGCCGCUCCAAGACACUCUGCUUUCCAUCAACGCCGACAACCACAGCAGGGGUGGAUCCAGCCGACAAGAGGCAGAGCGGCGGUCAACGGUGGUGGCCUGCUCCCAAGCUGCAGGUGAGAAGGUGACGCAACAGUGGUUGGUUUGCAUAAAUAUUCGUCAAUGCAUUCUGAGAAUAUUUUGUGAGGUAUCCUGAUUGGCAUAUGCCGCUUCCAGCAUUUGGGCAUCGUGGUUGUAGCUCACAGUCAGGUAGAAAAUCAGUUAUGUAGCUAUGCCAAAUUAUUUCCUUCAAUAUUGUAAAAAUUUGUGUCCAUUGCAGGAAGCAAAAAACCUUUGAUGGUAUAUGACUUAAUAAUCCACAUGGAUUCUUAUACAUAGGCUGUUUAAUUACUACGUCCACCAUUUCUUUUCAGCUAAAGUCUUUGUCAUACUGUGUAUGGUGUCAAUGCAAACUACCAGAGUCAGAUGAGGCUCACAAUAAGCAGCAAUAUUAGUGCCACUCCUAUCCAGUGUUGAUAACUUGAUAUUUAGCCUGUUUACCUGGCACCAUCAGGUCCAAGGCAUUAGUAUGCUCUUACUUAUUGUACAUGUCAAUAAUUAGAGAACUAGAUUAGCUAACCUUAGCCGUGCAUCGCUCCCAUGUUUACUCUUCUUUGGUGCUGCUAUUACUCACACAAUUUGGAUCGGGAAUACAACACUGUUUAACAUUCAGUUUUGUUUUCUCAGUGCUUUGGAGAAGAUGGACAUGAGGCCCCAAUGGUGGUGGCCUCGCUUUGUUAUCCAUGAUUUCCCUCAUUUGAUUGAUUUGACACAUGUUCAUUCACUAGAUUAUAGUCUACUUCGUGUAUUUAGUUCUAGGUUGUUUUGAUCUAAGUGGUACUUGAUUUCUUGGCAUUGUUCAUUGCCUCGAGCCAUGUCUGAUACUGAAUUUGACCAUGAUCCUCUUGCAGUAAAUAUGACUUAUUUGCUCUCUAUUGGAAUAUUUCUUUCCACAUAUUGCUAGCUCCUUAGGUGUAAUGUUGUUUAAAAUAUUUGUCCUGGAGCUCCUUUGCUCCUGUUCUUGGUGUAGAUAAACCAAAACUGCUCCUUUUAGGCCAUCCAAGAGUCUUAAACGACCAACAUUGUAAUUAGCAUAUGUGGACAGUGUAAGGUAGCCUAUGUCAAUAUCUGAAAGUUUUUUGUGUUUGUUUAUCCUCCUUAAAUCAAUAUGUUCUUUUGAUUUGUAGGACUGUUAGUAAGGUUGAUCAUCGGCAAGCGAAAGUGCUUCGUGGAUGCUUGCACGACCAAGGUGAUUGCAUAUGGACGAGCUGGUGACGAAUCAGUUUCACUUUUGUAUUUCCUUUUGCAUUGGCUUAUUUGAUUUCAAUGUUAUGGGUUCAGUGUUCAUCUUGGAAAAGAUCUACAUCAUAAUUUGGUGUCUCCAUUUAGGGCUAAAUAGUAAAAAAUAUUGUUGUUUCUUGUAACGAUAAACAACUUAUAGUUGUUUUGGUAGCAUAAUUAGGUAAUGAUAUUGUUAAAAGUUUAACUGAUUUAUGAGAAUAAUUCCAUUAUUUAGUCUCACGGUCAUGUUCUUCCUUCAGCGGCUUGGGAGGGAGGAGUGCAUGUUUUCGAGGUAAAAUGCAUGAUGAAUUUAUCUGUAGGGUGUUUUGGCCAUAUGUCAGAGGAGAUCAUUGGAUUUUCCUAUCCUUAUGUUUUACUCCUGAAAAUAGCUUCUAACGAUAUUGUUCUGCAAGCCCUUAAAGCUCCUAGAGUGCAAACACCAUGAGAUAGGGAUGUGAAACUGAAGGAAAGAAGGCCCUGACCACUCUCAUCAUUUACUCAAGUAAUAACACCAUCGGCGACAGGAACGACAAGCUGACACAGGUGAGCUUAGUGUCUCUUAUGAUGUCGUUUUAUGUCUUGGCCUCAAGUUCACAACCAGUUCUUUGUUUGGUGAGAUGUAUGUGUUCUUUCAUGGUUAUUCUCAUUAGGUGGCUGCACUUUUUUUUUCUCAAUUUGUGUUCUGAAUUUAAGGUUGCAGAUGCGUGCCUCGAUUGUUUAUAUAAAUGUGUAAGUAGAAAAAUCUCAUGGGCAACAGCCUGGGAUAGAUAAGAGAGAUACGAAUCAUACGAUGGUCUUUCAGAAGAGAUGCUGCUAUGAAGACCUUUGUAUGUCCCUUGCGGCCAUGCCGACAACUUACUAGAUGUUUUUCUUCCAACGUGGAUCUUCUUUUCUUAAGAACAAACUUUUAUUGUAGAUAUUUUCGAAAGCAUGGCAUAUGAAGUAGAACUGGAUUUUACAUAGUUAUAUCUACGUGCUUGUCCAAGUAUAGACUUCAAUAUAUAGCUUGUGAAAAUUUAAAAUUCGUUUGGUUUAGUGAAUUUCCUUUGUCCAAGUAUGAUUCCUUUUAUACUUCCAUUUUUUUUAGUUGCCACCAUUUUGUAUUUUGUAUUAAAUUGAAAUUUUGAAAUAAGCUGACGACGAUCCUCGGCAGCACAAGUGUAUGGAUAAUUCAGUUUCUUUAGUGAACUCAGUUAAACCUUGCAAUUUUAAGUAUGUGCCGAGUCGUGCAUAGCUUUCUGUUUUGUGUAAGUGGAAAGUAUUAGUAGUUUCACUUUGUCCAAUUUUUUCAGGGACAACUUUUGAGAGUUGGUCCAAACUUAAUGCAUUCAUGGGAUCACCAAUUUUUGGUGCUGGUUGAGAUUGGGUAGGUUGUACCAUGAGUUCCUGGAUGAUUGUUGCAAUUCUCAUGCUUGCUUGCAAGGAUGUUGCAUGAAUUGGAGAGAUUGGGACUGAAUACUGACCUCGAAUAUAUAUAUAUUGAUGCUCCUAUCUUCUCAUUGCAUUUGUCUCUGCAUUAAAUUAGUCAAAUUAAAUUUUUAGUACCAAUUCUACGAUGUAUUCCCCUCAUGGAAUUUUGAUUCCUCUUUCUAUUAGAGUUUUAUGUCUUAUUUAUAUACUAGAUUUAUUUCUUCUCCUAUGACAUGCAGUUCUACAGUUGCGUUUCGGUAUGCAUCUACGCCCCACCAGUAUACUUGGUCUUUCAGUUAUGCCAUCCAGUUUCCUCCCUUUUUGCCUGGUUAUGGCCGUGGUUAGCUUAGGAAGAGAGAGCAGCACAAAUGAAUUGCAUUGAUAAGUUCACAUGUAGCAAAAUCCGGAUUGAAGUGAUCCUCCAAUUUCAAGAAUAGCAUACUGAAUAUGGAUCUAUUAAAUAAUACUGAAUGUCAUGAUGGCCUUCCCAGGAGAUGUAGUUCUGAAUAUCCUACUGCUCUAUGGAUCCAUUAUUGCAAGAACUGUAUAACAAUAUGCACCGAGCUGCUUCAUACCAUCAUUUAGCGUCUCUGUAUUCUAUCUGAUUAGCUUUCCUUAGUGCCAUCUGAUGAGAGGCAUUCUUGUUGCCCUGUACACAUCUUGUGCUCCUAUGAUGGGGCAGAUGAUGUUAUUUAAUUAAUUAUUGGAAGAAAAUGAUAAUCCAUUGGGCUCCCUUCCUUCCUCAUGUCUUUUUUUGCAUGUAUAGUACUUCACUGCUUCCUGCAUGUGAUUCCAUUUGAUUUCACUUUGAUUUUGUUUUCUGCAGAUCGUUUCUUGGUGGCUGCUAAUGAAUCAUGUAAGGAUGGCGCAGAAUUCACCAGAGGAAAAAGACCGAACUACGGGGUUUCCCCAUUGUUAGAGCUCUUGGUGCCCGGACAAGCCCUCUAUAUCCAUUCUCCCUUCGCAGCUCAGCUCCACUGACCAGGUCAGUCCUCACUAAUGGACGGUUACAUAGUUUUUUUUCCUUUUGAACUCUAAAUGUGUGCCCGCCUCUAAGUAAUUUCUUGGAUCCACAUGUUCUGUUCAGAUGGAGAUGGCUGACGAAGAGCUCGAUGUCCAUGACUCGUCAGGUUCCGCUGGCUCCACUAACAACCGUCUACGGGCGCUUGCACAGGUCAGGUGAAACCCGUCCUAUCCCCUCUCUGAUUUUACUGGACGGUUGCAAAAAUAUGAUGAGUGUGUGACUCGGGAAUUUUUAUAAUUAAAAGAAGUACUCACAGAUGUAAACAUUGCUAACUCUGCAAAGAAACACGCAUCUGAUCUAGGGAUUAUUGAUGCUCGCAGAUAGUAGUAAAGAAAUGGUGAUAUUUAGAUCCAGGCAGUGUGAUGAUUUUAACUCUAUUUCUUUGACGUGCUCUUCGUGUAGUUAAUAGCUCUGUAGGUGUUUCCUCGAUUGAUUAGAUGUUGUCUAGGCCUUCUAUGUAGAUGUAUUUUGUUUACAAAGCGCAAGCAUUCUACGUGAUAAUUAGAUUUCUGUCUUUGAAGGUGAUCAUAUUGAUCUUACCUUAUCGACUACUCUUACUAAAACAAGUUGUAUUUUCAACUGACUAAUAGCCCCGUUGUUCUUAAAAAUGCUCAUCACAUGCUCAAGACAAUCUGAUUAACCGAUAGACUUAACGUAUCUCUUUUUAACACUAUGUCUGCUUUUAUCCGCGACUGAUUUCUCUGAUAUAUCUCCCGUACUGUGAUGCAAUUACUGUAAGCAGCUCCUCAUGGCCUUAUGUUUUAUGUUCUCGGGCGCUACAGGAUACCAAGCGAGUGUUUAGGAUCCCACACCGGGCAUUUCUUGACAUGCUCCUAGCACACCUUACACUAAUCACCGGCUCAGUAUGAUCGUGUUGUACAUGAUGACGGCAAGAUCUGUGUGACCAUCUUUUUCAACACCUCUACAUUGGAUCUUGGAGGACCAAUCAGUAUGAACGCGUCGUGUCGUCAUUCCUCCUGGUCUACAUUAUGCCCAAGACAUGCAAAGUUGUGGAUUGUAUGUAAGCUACCAUGUGCUUUUGUACAUCCUAUGCCUGUGAUAUUUGCUACUAAACCUAUUGUGCUACGUGCUUUCUAUGUUUAUACAUUGUUAGGUGGCUCCUUAUUGUGUGCAUACAAACAAACCUUACUUCUGAAUGAUUCUUUGUUAGUUUUUUAUUUUUAUCAUGGUUGACAUAAUAAUGAGUGCAAAAAUUACUUUGCUUAAAUCUGGUUGCUUGGCUGACAAAGAUAUGCUUUCUAUGCUUGUGAUGCUUUCUAUGCUAUGGAUUUUACGUAUUGGAUUAGGGCCAAUGCUUACUUAGGCCAUUUUAAUUUUGAUAAGCCUAUUGUUAAAGUUCAAGAUACUAUGGUUGAUGGCUGAGUACAACUGUACAUAGAUUGUCCUUGGAUUUUCCUUUACGGUAUAUACUGAGUGGAUUGUAAAUACGGUUACCUUGGCCAUUAUUCUUUGUAUGAUGUAUACAGUGUGAAUGCAUAUGCUAAACCUGGUGUUUGGACCGGCACCCUCGCGCCAGGGCGCGAUUCUGAUCUAGUGUACUAUUAUCGGUCGUCGUCGUCGUCGUUUACCUCUUCGAGACUAAGAUGUUGUUGUUCACCGAUCAGGUGCUCGUUCUAUCCUCCGUGAAUAAACACGUGUGUUAAUUGUGCAUCUCUGUUUAAAGAGCAUUUGUUCAUGUCACACGAAUUUUGUGAGCAAGUAGUGUCUAAACGUCGGUAUGCUUUUAUACAUAGUAAAUAACUCUUAUCGUCCUGCUCUUUUAACAUUUCUUUGCCAGAAUUUAAACUCUAUGUCUGCUAAACUGUUAUUAACAUUCGGAGUGCUCAGGCUAUAUGUGGCUCUAUCUUCAUAGUCUACACAUGUAUAUAAAACAAUAAUUUCAUUGGACCUACUUACGUCUAUACAAAUGAAAAUACGGAAGGAACACAACAUAGUUGUUCACGUGUACCACCCUUAAGAAGGUGCGAGAACCAUCUUUGUCGCUCCCCGAUCUCACUCUCAUACAUCCAAGAGCGGGUGUCCUCCUCAAUGGAUAACAAUGGCAACAAGAAGCUUGACGAGGUAUGUUGGUGGUGACCAUCCACUACAAAUCCGACGUUGAGAGGUAGGGUGUGGACAUCGAUGAUGUGCCUAUAAAUCGCUUUCCUUGGGUAGAUGUCAUCGCUUGAACAUAUUGUGUGAUCUUGUUAAUAUGGAUGCAACAUGUUCUUCUUGGAAAACCUUGGAAGUAUUACACAAAGUGCGAAGGGGAUUAAUAAAGCACGACAGAGGUAGCAGCGCAUCGAAACUCCUAUAUGGUGCACUAGGACUGCCCUAAUGCAAUAGUACCCUUUUGGAAGUAACUUUCUAAUCAAUUUGAUUAAUUGCAAAUUGAGUUGUUUAAGUAAUACUCCUUGUUUUUUUUAGAAAAGGAGGAUGACCCUCGGCCUCUGCAUCCGGACGAUGCAUGCGGCCACUUUAUUAAUUAUUCUCGCAAGACCUUACAAAGUCAUACAACAGCAAGACUAAAGCCACCGUGUAAGCAACAACUAUCGCUACACCUAUCCAAUUGAUGAAUGGGCGCUGAUAGCCUGGGCCUAAUACCAAACAGACGUCGUAGCCAAAUCUAAAAAUCUAAGACUUGAGGGCCCAACCAGGACGCCUACCUGGUAUGGGGCACCUACCAGUCCGGCGCACUCCUCAACCAGGACGCCUGCCGGGUAUAUGUUGGGGAUCGUUGCAGAAAAUAAAUAAAAAUUACGCAUCACCAAGAUCAAUCUAUGGAGUCAUCUAGCAACGAGAGAGAGAUGCAUCUACAUACUCUUGUAGAUCGCGACCGGAAGUGUUCAAGAGAACGGGGUUGAAGGAGUCGUACUCAUCGUGAUCCAAAUAACCGAUGAUCCUAGCGCCAAACGGACGGCACCUCCACGUUCAACACAUGUAAGGAGCGGAGACGUCUCCCAUGCCUUGAUCUAGCAAGGAGGAGGGAGAGGUUCAGGAAGAGAUCUCCAGCAGCAGCACGACCGCGUGGUGGUGAUGGAGAGGCAGUACUCCGGCAGGGCUUCGCCAAGCUUCUUCGGAGGAGGAGAGGUGUUGGGGAGGGGAGGGGUUGCGCUUUGGAGGUGUGUGUGCAACCCUCCCCUCGCCCCUCUAUUUCUAGGGGGAGGAUGAAGGGGGCCGGCCCCCUCUAGAUGAGAUCUAGAGGGGGGCGGCCAAGGGGGGGACUUGCCCCCAAGCAAGGGGGGGCGCCCCCUUGAGGGUUUCCCCCCAACCCUAGACACAUGGGCCCAAGGGGGGGUUGCGCCCAGCCCUCUAAGGGCUGGUUCCCUUCCCUCUACGGCCCAUGAGGCCCUCCGGGAGAGGUGGCCCCUCCCGGUGGACCCCUGGAACCCUUCCGGUGGCCCCGGUACAAUACCAGCAUGCCCCCGAACCUUUCCGAUGACCAUAUUACAACUUCCCAUAUAUAAAUCUUCACCUCCGGACCAUUCCAGAACUCCUUGUGACUUCCGGGAUCUCAUCCGGGACUCCGAACAACAUUCGGUUAUCACAUACAAGUCUUCCUAAUAACCCUAGCAUCACUGAACCUUAAGUGUGUAGACCCUAUGGGUUCGGGAAUCACGCAGACAUGACCGAGACAACUCUCCGGCAAAUAACCAACAGCGGGAUCUGGAUACUCAUGUUGGCUCCCACAUGUUCCAUGAUGAUCUCAUCGGAGGAACCACGAUGUCGAGGAUUCAAGCAAUCCCGUAUACAAUUCCCUUUGUCACACGGUACGUUACUUGGCCGAGAUUCGAUCGUCGGUAUCCCAAUACCUCGUUCAAUCUCGUUUCCGGCAAGUCACUUUACUUGUUCCGUAAUGCAUGAUCCCGUGACCAACCACUUGGUCACAUUGAGCUCAUUAUGAUGAUGCAUUACCGAGUGGGCCCAGAGAUACCUCUCCGUCAUACGGAGUGACAAAUCCCAGUCUCGAUCCCUGUCAACCCAACAGACACUUUCGGAGAUACCUGUAGUAUACCUUUAUAGCCACCCAGUUACGUUGUGACGUUUGGCACACCCAAAGCACUCCUACGGUAUCCAGGAGUUACACGAUCUCAUGGUCUAAGGAAAUGAUACUUGACAUUAGAAAAGCUCUAGCAAACGAACUACACGAUCUUGUGCUAUGCUUAGGAUUGGGUCUUGUCCAUCACAUCAUUAUCCUAAUGAUGUGAUCCCGUUAUCAAUGACAUCCAAUGUCUAUAGUCAGGAAACCAUGACUAUCUGUUGAUCAAUGAGCUAGUCAACUAGAGGCUCACUAGGGACAUGUUGUGGUCUAUGUAUUCACACAUGUAUUACGAUUUCCGGAUAACACAAUUAUAGCAUGAACAAUAGACAAUUAUCAUGAACAAGGAAAUAUAAUAAUAACCAUUUUAUUAUUGCCUCUAGGGCAUAUUUCCAACAGUCUCCCAUUUGCACUAGAGUGAAUAAUCUAGUUACAUUGUGAUGAAUCGAACACCCAUAGAGUUCUGGUGUUGAUCAUGUUUUGCUCGCGGAAGAGGUUUAGUCAAAGGAUCUGCGACAUUCAGAUCCGUAUGCACUUUGCAAAUAUCUAUGUCUCCAUCUUGAACAUUUUCACGAAUGGAGUUGAAGCGAUGCUUGAUGUGCCUGGUCUUCUUGUGAAACCUAGGCUCCUUGGCAAGGGCAAUGGCUCCAGUGUUGUCACAGAAGAGAGUCAUCGGCCCCGACGCAUUGGGAAUAACUCCUAGGUCGGUAAUGAACUCCUUCAUCCAGAUUGCUUCAUGUGCUGCCUCCGAGGCUGCCAUGUAUUCCAUUCAAAAUAUACAUGUAUCCGGUUUGUGACUUAGAGUCAUCCAGAUCUGUGUCGAAGCUAGCGUCGACGUAACCCUUUACAACGAGCUCUUCGUCACCUCCAUAAACGAGAAACAUAUCCUUAGUCCUUUUUAGGUACUUCAGGAUAUUCUUGACCGCUGUCCAGUGUUCCAUGCCGGGAUUACUUUGGUACCUUCCUACCAAACUUAUGGCAAGGUUUACAUCAGGUCUGGUACACAGCAUGGCAUACAUAAUAGACCCUAUAGCCGAGGCAUAGGGGAUGACACUCAUCUUUUCUCUAUCUUCUGUCGUGGUCGGGCAUUGAGCCGAGCUCAAUUUCACACCUUGCAACACAGGUAAGAACCCCUUCUUGGACUGAUCCAUAUUGAACUUCUUCAAUAUUUUAUCAAGGUAUGUGCUUUGUGAAAGACCUAUGAGGUGUCUCGAUCUAUCUCUAUAGAUCUUGAUGCCUAAUAUAUAAGCAGCUUCUUCAAGGUCCUUCAUUGAAAAACACUUAUUCAAGUAGGCCUUAAUGUUGUCCAAAAGUUCUAUAUCAUUUCCCAUCAAAAGUAUGUCACCUACAUAUAAUAUGAGAAAUGCUACAGAGCUCCCACUCACUUUCUGGGAAAUGCGGGCUUCUCCUUAAGUCUGCAUAAACCCAAACACUUUGAUCACUUCAUCAAAGCGAAUGUUCCAACUCUGAGAUGCUUGCAGCAGCCCAUAGAUGGAGCACUGGAGCUUGCAUACCUUGUUAGCAUUCUUAGAAAUGUUAGCAUUCUUAGGAAGUCGUUAAGGAAUGUCGUUUUGACAUCCAUUUACCAUAUCUCAUAAUCGUAGAAUGCGGCAAUUGCUAACAUGAUUCGGACGGACUUCAGCUUCGCUAUGGGUGAGAAGGUCUCAUUGUAGUCAACCCCUUGAACUUGUCGAUAACCCUUAGCGACAAGUCGAGAUUUAUAGAUGGUAACAUUACCAUCCGCAUCCGUCUUCUUCUUCAAGAUCCAUUUGUUUUCUAUCGCUUGCAGAUAAUCAGGAAAGUCUGUCAAAGUCCAUACUUUGUUUUCAUACAUGGAUCCUAUCUCGGAUUGCAUGGCUUCUAGCCAUUUGUUGGAAUCUGGGCCCGCCAUCGCUUCUUCAUAUUUCGAAGGUUCACCGUUGUCUAACAAUAUGAUUUUCAAGACAGGGUUGCCAUACCAUUCUAGUGUGGAACGUGUCCUUGUGGACCUAUGAAGUUCAGUAGUAACUUGAUCCGAUCCUCUCUAGUCGGUGCAGGCACCACAGGAACAUCUUCCUGAGCUGCGCUACUUUCCGGUUUAAGAGGCAGUACUUCAUCGAGUUCUACUUUCCUCCCACUUAUUUCUUUCGAGAGAAACUCUUUCUCCAGAAAGGACCCGUUCUUGGCAACAAAGAUCUUGCCUUCGGAUCUUAGGUAGAAGGUAUACCCAAUGGUUUCCUUAGGGUAUCCUAUGAAGACGCAUUUUUCCAACUUGGGUUUGAGCUUUUGAGGUUGAAGUUUCUUGACAUAAGCAUCGCAUCCCCGAACUUUUAGAAACGACAGCUUAGGUUUCUUUCCAAACCAUAAUUCAUACGGUGUCGUCUCAACGGAUUUAGAUGGUGCCCUAUUUAAAGUGAAUGUAGCUGUCUCUAAAGCGUAUCCCCAAAAUGAUAGCGGUAAAUCGGUUAGAGACAUCAUAGACCGCACCAUAUCCAAUAGAGUGCGAUUACGAUGUUCAGACACACCAUUACGCUGAGGUGUUCCAGGCGGCAUGAGUUGUGAAACAAUUCCACAUUUCCUUAAGUGUGUCCCAAACUCGUGACUUAAAUAUUCUCCCCCACGAUCUGAUUGUAAGAACUUUAUUUUUCUGUCACAUUGAUUUUCUACCUCAUUCUGAAAUUCCUUGAACUUUUCAAAGGUCUCAGACUUGUGUUUCAUUAAAUAGACAUACCCAUAUCUACUUAAGUCAUCAGUGAGGGUGAGAACAUAAUGAUAGCCACCGCGAGCCUCAACGCUCAUUGGACCACACACAUCAGUAUGUAUAAUUUGUUUGAAAUAUGCCCUAGAGGCAAUAAUAAAAUGGUUAUUAUUAUAUUUCUUUGUUCAUGAUAAUUGUCUGUUAUUCAUGCUAUAUUUGUAUUAUCCAGAAAUCGUAAUACACGUGUGAAUACAUAGACCACAACAUGUCCCUAGUGAGCCUCUAGUUGACUAGCUCGUUGAUCAACAGAUAGUCAUGGUUUCCUGACUAUGGACAUUGGAUGUCAUUGAUAAUGGUAUCACAUCAUUAGGAGAAUGAUGUGAUGGACAAGACCCAAUCCUAAGCAUAGCUCAAAGAUCGUGUAGUUCAUUUAGCUAGAGCUUUUCCAAAUGUCAUGUAUCAUUUCCUUAGACCAUGAGAUUGUGCAACUCCCGGAUACCGUAGGAGUGCUUUGGGUGUGCCAAACGUCACAACGCAACUGGGUGACUAUAAAGGUGCACCACGGCUAUCUCCGAAAGUGUCUGUUGGGUUGGCACGAAUCGAGACUGGGAUUUGUCACUCCGCAUGACGGAGAGGUAUCUCUGGGCCCACUUGGUAAUGCAUCAUCAUAAUGAGCUCAAUGUGACCAAGUGUCUGGUCACGGGAUCAUGCAUUACGGUACGAGUAAAGUGACUUGCCGAUAAUGAGAUUAAACGAGGUAUUGGGAUACCAACGAUCGAGUCUCGGGCAAGUAACGUAACAAUUGACAAAGGGAAUUGUAUACAGGGUUGAUUGAAUCCUCAAUAUCGUGGUUCAUCCGAUGAGAUCAUCGAGGAGCAUGUGGGAGCCAACAUGGGUAUCCAGAUCCCGAUGUUGGUUAUUGACCGGAGAGGCGUCUCGGUCAUGUCUGCAUGUCUCUCGAACCCGUAGGGUCUACACACUUAAGGUUCGGUGACGCUAGGGUUGUAGAGAUAUGAGUAUGCAGUAAACUGAAAGUUGUUCGGAGUCCCGGAUGAGAUCCCGGACGUCAUGAGGAGUUCCGGAAUGGUCCGGAGGUAAAGAAUUAUAUAUAGGAAGUCAGGUUUCGGCCAUCGGGAAAAUUUCAGGGGUCACCGGUAUUGUACCAGGACCACCGGAAGGGUCCCGGGGGUCCACCGGGUGGGGCCACCUAUCCCGGAUGGCCCCAUGGGCUGAAGUGGGAGGGGAACCAGCCUCUGGUGGGCUAGUGCGCCCCGCCUUGGGCCCCGCCUGCGCCUAGGGUUGGAAACCCUAGGGGUGGGGGGUGCCUUCACUUGCCUUGGGGGGCAAGGCACCCCCCUUGGCCACCGCCCCCCCUAUGAGAUCCCAUCUCCUAGUGCCGGCGCCCCCCUAGGGGCCCUAUAUAAAGCGGGGGAGGGAGGGUAGCCGCAACCUUGUACUUGGCGCCUCCCUUCCCCCUUGCUACACCUCUCCCUCUUGCGGACGCUUGGCGAAGCCCUGCCGAGAUCACUGCUGCAUCCACCACCACGCCAUUGUGCUGCUGGAUCUUCAUCAACCUCUCCUUUCCCCUUGCUAGAUCAAGAAGGAGGAGACGUCUCACUAACCGUAUGUGUGUUGAACGCAGAGGUACCGUCCGUUCGGCGCUAGGAUCUCCGGUGAUUUGGAUCACGACGAGUACAACUCCCUCAACCCUGUUCUCUUGAACGCUUCCGCUCGAUCUACAAGGGUAUGUAGAUGCACUCCUCUCUCUCGUUUCUAGAUUAAAUCAUAGAUUGAUCUUGGUGAAACCGUAGGAAAUUUUUUAUUUUCUGCAACGUUCCCCAACAGUGGCAUCAUGAGCUAGGUCUAUGUGUAGUUCUCUUUGCACGAGUAGAACACAAAUCUGUUGUGGGCGUUGAUGUUGUCAACUUUCUUUCCAUUACUAGUCUUAUUUUGCUUCAGCAUUAUUGUGGGAUGAAGCGGCCCGGACCGACCUUACAUGUACGCUUACGUGAGACAGGUUCCAUCGACUGGCAUGCACUUGUCGCUUUAUUUAAGGAAAUAAAACGCUAUGUAAUUGCUUUACUUUAUCACUAAGUGGUAGCGAUAGUCGUAGAAGAAAUGGUUGGCGAGACGACCACGACGCUACGAUGGAGAUGAAGGUGUCAAGCCGGUGACGAUGGAGAUCAUGACGUUACUUUGGUGAUGGAGAUCAUGAUCACAAGAAGAUGUUGGAGAUCAUGAGUAAUUGUUGGCAAGCAACUUCAUGGAGACACGAUGAUGGAGAUCAUGAUGAUGGAGAUCAUGGUGUCAUGCCGGUGACGAAGAUGAUCAUGGAGCCCCGAAGAUGGAGAUCAAAGGAGCUAUAUGAUAUUGGCCAUAUCAUGUCACUGUUUAAUUGCAUGUGAUGUUUAUUAUGUUUAUGCAUCUUGUUUACUUAGAACGACGGUAGUAAAUAAGAUGAUUCCUCAUAAUAAUUUCAAGAAAGUGUUCACCCUAAAUGUGCACCAUUGUGAAAGUUCAUCGUUUCGAAGCACCAAGUGAUGAUCGGGUGUGAUAGAUUCUAACGUUCACAUACAACGGGUGUAAGACAGAUUUACACAUGCAAAACACUUAGGUUAACUUGACGAGCCUAGCAUGUACAAACAUGGCCUCGGAACACAAGAGACCGAAAGGUCGAACAUGAGUCGUAUGGAAGAUACGAUCAACAUGGAGAUGUUCACCGAUGAUGACUAGUCCGUCUCACGUGAUGAUCGGACACGGCCUAGUCGACUCGGAUCAUGUAUCACUUAGAUGACUAGAGGGAUGUCUAAUCUGAGUGGGAGUUCAUUAAAUAAUUUGAUUAGAUGAACUUAAUUAUCAUGAACUUAGUCUAAAAACCUUUGCAAAUAUGUCUUGUAGAUCAAAUGGCCAACGCUCAUGUUCACCUCAACUUCAACGCGUUCCUGGAGAAAACCAAGCUGAAAGAUGAUGGCAGCAACUAUACGGACUGGGUCCGGAACCUGAGGAUCAUCCUCAUAGCUGCCAAGAAAGAUUAUGUCCUAGAAGCACCGCUAGGUGAAGCACCCAUCCUAGAGAACCAAGAUGUUAUGAACGCUUGGCAGUCUCGUGUUGAUGAUUACUCCCUCGUUCAGUGCGGCAUGCUUUACAGCUUAGAACCGGGGCUCCAAAAAUGUUUUGAGCAACACGGAGCAUAUUAGAUGUUCGAAGAGCUGAAAAUGGUUUUCCAAGCUCAUUCCUGGGUCGAGAGAUAUGAAGUCUCCGACAAGUUCUUCAGCUGUAAGAUGGAGGAAAACAGUUCUGUCAGUGAGCACAUACUCAAGAUGUCUAGGUUGCACAACCGCCUGACUCAGCUGGGAGUUAAUAUCCCGGAUGAUGCGGUUAUUGACAGAAUCCUCCAGUCGCUUCCACCGAGCUACAAGAGCUUUGUGAUGAACUUCAAUAUGCAGGGGAUGGAAAAGACCAUUCCUGAGGUAUAUUCAAUGCUAAAAUCAGCGGAGGUAGAGAUCAAGAAAGAACAUCAAGUGUUGAUGGUGAAUAAAACCACUAAGUUCAAGAAAGGCAAGGGUAAGAAGAACUUCAAGAAGGACGGCAAGGGAGUUGCCGCGCCCGGUAAGCCAGUUGCUGGGAAGAAGUCAAAGAAUGGACCCAAGCCUGAGACUGAGUGCUUUUAUUGCAAGGGAAGUGGUCACUGGAAGCGGAACUACCCCAAGUACUUAGCGGACAAGAAGGUCGGCAACACUAAAGGUAUAUGUGAUAUACAUGUAAUUGAUGUGUACCUUACCAGUACUCGUAGUAGCUCCUGGGUAUUUGAUACCGGUGCAGUUGCUCAUAUUUGUAACUCAAAGGAGGAACUGCGGAAUAAACGGAGACUGGCAAAGGACGAGGUGACGAUGCGCGUCGGGAAUGGUUCCAAGGUCGACGUAAUCGCCGUCGGCACGCUACCUCUACAUUUACCUACAGGGGUAGUUUUAAACCUCAAUAAUUGUUAUUUAGUGCCAAGUUUGAUCAUGAACAUUGUAUCUGGAUCUCGUUUAAUACGAGAUGGCAACUCAUUUAAAUCCGAGAAUAAUGGUUGUUCUAUUUAUAUGAGAGAUAUGUUAUAUGGUCAUGCCCCAAUGGUCAAUGGUUUAUUCUUAAUGAAUCUCGAACAUGAUGUUACACAUAUUCAUAGUGUGAAUAAUAAAAUAUGUAAAGUUGAUAACGAUAGGCCCACAUACUUGUGUCACUGCCGCCUUGGUCAUAUUGGUGACAAGCGCAUGAAGAAGCUCCAUGCUGAUGGACUUUUAGAGUCUCUCGAUUAUGAAUCAUUUGACACAUGCGAACCAUGCCUCACGGGCAAAAUGACCAAGACUCCGUUCUCCGAAACAAUGGAGCGAGCAACCAACUUAUUGGAAAUCAUACAUACUGAUGUCUGCGGUCCAAUGAGCGUUGAGUCUCGCGCAGGAUAUCGUUAUGUUCUCACUCUCACUAACGACUUGAGUAGAUAUGGGUAUGUCUACUUGAUGAAACACAAGUCUGAGACCUUUGAAAAGUUCAAGGAGUUUCAGAAUGAGGUAGAGAAUCAACGUGACCGAAAGAUAAAGUUCCUACGAUCAGAUCGUGGAGGAGAAUAUUUAAGUCAUGAAUUUGGUAUGCACUUAAGGAAAUGUGGAAGCGUUUCACAACUCACGCCGCCUGGAACACCUCAGUGUAACGGUGUGUCCGAACGUCGUAAUCGCACUUUAUUGGAUAUGGUGCGAUCUAUGAUGUCUCUUACCGAUGUACCGCUAUCUUUUUGGGGAUACGCUCUAGAGACAGCUACAUUCACUUUAAAUAGGGCACCUUCUAAAUCCGUUGAGACGACACUGUAUGAAUUAUGGUUUGGGAAGAAACCUAAGCUGUCGUUUCUAAAAGUUUGGGGAUGCGAUGCUUAUGUCAAGAAACUUCUACCUAAAAAGCUCGAACCCAAGUAGGAAAAAUGUGUCUUCAUAGGAUACCCUAAGGAAACCAUUGGGUAUACCUUCUACCUCAGAUCCAAAGGCAAGAUCUUUGUUGCCAAGAACGGGUCCUUUCUGGAGAAAGAGUUUCUCUCGAGAGAAGUAAGUGGGAGGAAAGUGGAACUUGAUGAAGUACUACCUCUUGAACCGGUGAGUAGCGCAGCUCAGGGAGAUGUUCCUGUGGUGCCAGCACCAACUGAAGAGGAAGUUAAUGAUGAUGAUCAAGGUACUUCGCAUCAAGUUACUACUGAACUUCGUAGGUCCACGGGGACAUGUUCCACACCAGAGUGGUAUGGCAAUCCUGUCCUAGAAACCAUGUUGUUAGACAACGGUGAACCUUCGAACUAUGAAGAAGCGAUGGCGGGCCCAGAUUCCAACAAAUGGCUUGAAGCCAUGCAAUCCGAGAUAGGAUCCAUGUAUGAAAAUGAAGUAUGGACUUUGAUAGACUUGCCCGAUGAUCGGCGAGCGAUGGAAAACAAAUGGAUCUUUAAGAAGAAGACGGACGCGGAUGGUAAUGUUACCAUCUAUAAAGCUCGACUUGUCGCUAAGGGUUAUCGACAAUUUCAAGGGGUUGACUACGAUGAGACAUUCUCUCCCGUAGCGAAGCUAAAGUCCGUCUGAAUCAUGUUAGCAAUUGCCGCAUACUAUGAUUAUGAGAUAUGGCAAAUGGACGUCAAAACGGCAUUCCUUAACGGUCAUCUUAAGGAAGAAUUGUAUAUGAUGCAGCCGGAAGGAUUUGUCGACCCUGAGAAUGCUAACAAGGUAUGCAAGCUCCAGCGAUCCAUUUAUGGGCUGGUGCAAGCAUCUCGGAGUUGGAACAUUCACUUUGAUGAGAUGAUCAAGGCGUUUGGGUUUAUGGAGACUUAUGGAGAAGCCUGCAUUUACAAGAAAGUGAGUGGGAGCGCUGUAGCAUUUCUCAUAUUAUAUGUAGAUGACAUACUUUUGAUGGGAAAUGAUAUAGAACUCUUGGACAGCAUUAAGGCCUACUUGAAUAAGUGUUUUUCAAUGAAGGACCUUGGAGAAGCUGCUUACAUACUAGGCAUCAAGAUCUAUAGGGAUAGAUCGAGACGCCUCAUAGGUCUUUCACAAAGAACAUACCUUGAUGAGAUAUUGAAGAAGUUCAAUAUGGAUCAGUCCAAGAAAGGGUUCUUGCCUGUAUUGCAAGGUGUGAGAUUGAGCUUGGCUCAAUUCCCGACCACGGCAGAAGAUAAAGAAGAGAUGAGUGUCAUCCCCUAUGCCUCAGCCAUAGGGUCUAUUAUGUAUGCCAUGCUGUGUACCAGACCUGAUGUAAACCUUGCCGUAAGUUUGGUAGGAAGGUACCAAAGUAAUCCCGGCAAGGAACACUGGACAGCGGUCAAGAACAUCCUAAAGUACCUGAAAAGGACUAAGGAUAUGUUUCUCGUUUAUGGAGGUGACAAAGAGCUCAUCGUAAAGGGUUACGUCGAUGCUAACUUCGACACAGAUCUGGAUGACUCUAAGUCACAAACCGGAUACGUGUAUAUUUUGAAUGGUGGGGCAGUAAGCUGGUGCAGUUGCAAGCAAAGCAUCGUGGCGGGAUCUACAUGUGAAGCAGAGUACAUGGCACCCUCGGAGGCAGUGCAUGAAGCAAUCUAGGUGAAGGAGUUCAUCAUCGACCUAGGAGUCAUACCCAAUGCGUCGGGGCCGAUCAAACUCUUCUGUGACAACACUGGAGCUAUUGCGCUUGCCAAGGAGCCCAGGUUUCACAAGAAGACCAGGCACAUCAAGCGUCGCUUCAACUCCAUACGUCAAAAUGUUCAAGAUGGAGACAUAGAUAUUUGUAAAGUACAUACAGACCUGAAUGUGGCAGAUCCGUUGACUAAACCUCUCCCUAGGGCAAAACAUGAUCAACACCAGAAUUCCAUGGUUGUUCGAUUGAUCACAAUGUAACUAGAUUAUUGAACUCUAGUGCAAGUGGGAGACUGUUGGAAAUAUGCCCUAGAGGCAAUAAUAAAAUGGUUAUUAUUAUAUUUCUUUGUUCAUGAUAAUUAUCUGUUAUUCAUGCUAUAAUUGUAUUAUUCGGAAAUCGUAAUACACGUGUGAAUACAUAGACCACGACAUGUCCCUAGUGAGCCUCUAGUUGACUAGCUCGUUGAUCAACUGAUAGUCAUGGUUUCCUGACUAUGGACAUUGGAUGUCAUUGAUAACGGGAUGACAUCAUUAGGAGAAUGAUGUGAUAGACAAGACCCAAUCCUAAGCAUAGCUCAAAGAUCGUGUAGUUCGUUUAGCUAGAGCUUUUCCAAAUGUCAAGUAUCAUUUGCUUAGACCAUGAGAUUGUGCAACUCCCGGAUACCGUAGGAGUGCUUUGGGUGUGCCAAACGUCACAACGUAACUGGGUGACUAUAAAGGUGCACUACGGGUAUCUCCGAAAGUGUCUGUUGGGUUGGCACGAAUCGAGACUGGGAUUUGUCACUCCGCAUGACGGAGAGGUAUCUCUGGGCCCACUCGGUAACACAUCAUCAUAAUGAGCUCAAUGUGACCAAGUGUCUAGUCACGGGAUCAUGCAUUACGGUACGAGUAAAGUGACUUGCCGGUAACGAGAUUAAACGAGGUAUUGGGAUACCGAUGAUCGAGUCUCGGGCAAGUAACGUACCAAUUGACAAAGGGAAUUGUAUACAGGGUUGAUUGAAUCCUCGACAUCGUGGUUCAUCCGAUGAGAUCAUCGAGGAGCAUGUGGGAGCCAACAUGGGUAUCCAGAUCCCGCUGUUGGUUAUUAACCGGAGAGGCGUCUCGGUCAUGUCUGCAUGUCUCCCGAACCCGUAGGGUCUACACACUUAAGGUUCAGUGAUGCUAGGGUUGUAGAGAUAUGAGUAUGCAGUAAACCGAAUGUUGUUCGGAGUCCCGGAUGAGAUCCCGGGCGUCACGAGAAGUUCCGGAAUGGUCCGGAGGUAAAGAAUUAUAUAUAGGAAGUCAGGUUUCUGCCAUCGGGAAAAUUUCGGGGGUCACCUGUAUUGUACCGGGACCACCGGAAGGGUCCCGGGGGUCCACCGGGUGGGGCCACCUAUCCCGAAGGGCCCCAUGGGCUCAAGUGGGAGGGGAACCAGCCCCUGGUGGGCUGGUGCGCCCCCCCCCCCCUUGCCCGCGCCUAGGGUUGGAAACCCUAGGGGUGGGGGGCGCCUCCACUUGCCUUGGGGGGCAAGGCACCCCCCUUGGCCGCCGCCCCCCCUAGGAGAUCCCAUCUCCUAGGGCCGGCACCCCCCCUAGGGGCCCUAUAUAAAGAGGGGGGAGGGAGGGCAGCUGCACCCUUGUACUUGGCGCCUCCCUUCCCCCUUCCUACACCUCUCCCUCUCGCAGACACUUGGCGAAGCCCUGCCGAGAUCAUUGCUGCAUCCACCACCACGCCGUCGUGCUGCUGGAUCUUCAUCAACCUCUCCUUUCCCCUUGCUGGAUCAAGAAGGAGGAGACGUCUCGCUGACCGUACGUCUGUUGAACGCGGUGGUGCCAUCCGUUCAGCGCUAGGAUCUCUGGUGAUUUGGAUCACGACGAGUACAACUCCCUCAACCCCGUUCUCUUGAAUGCUUCCGCUCGAUCUACAAGGGUACGUAGAUGCACUCCUCUCUCUCGUUGCUAGAUGAACUCAUAGAUUGAUCUUGGUGAAACCGUAGGAAUUUUUUUAUUUUCUGCAACAUUCCCCAACAUAAUUUCCAAUAAGUUGGUUGCUCGCUCCAUUGUUCCGGAGAACGGAGUCUUGGUCAUUUUGCCCAUGAGGCAUGGUUCGCACGUGUCAAAUGAUUCGAAAUCAAGAGACUCCAAAAGUCCAUCUGUAUGGAUCUUCUUCAUGCGUUUGAUGCCAAUGUGACCAAGGCGGUAGUGCCACAGAUAUGUGGGACUAUCAUUAUCAAUCUUACAUCUUUUGGUAUUCACACUAUGAAUAUGUGUAACAUCACGUUUGAGAUUCAUUAAGAAUAAACCGUUGACCAGCGGGGCAUGACCAUAAAACAUAUCUCUCAUAUAAAUAGAACAACCAUUAUUCUCGGAUUUAAAUGUGUAGCCAUCUCAUAUCAAAUGAGAUCCAGAUACAAUGUUCAUGCUCAAAGCUGGCACUAAAUAACAAUUAUUGAGGUUUAAAACUAAUCCGUAGGUAAAUGUAGAGGUAGCGUGCCGACAUCGAUCACAUCGACCUUGGAACCAUUCCCGACGCGCAUCGUCACCUCGUCCUUCACCAGUAUCCAUUUAUUCCGCAAAUCCUGUUUUGAGUUACAAAUAUGAGCAACUGCACCGGUAUCAAAUACCCAGGAGCUACUACGAGUACUAGUAAGGUACACAUCAAUUACAUGUAUAUCACAUAUACCUUUGGUGUUGCCGGCCUUCUUGUCCGCUAAGUACUUGGGGCAGUUCCGCUUCCAGUGUCCACUUACCUUGCAAUAAAAGCACUCAGUCUCAGGUUUGGGUCCAUGCUUUGGCUUCUUCCCGCCAACUGGCUUACCGGGCGCGGCAACUCCCUUGUCGUCCUUCUUGAAGUUCUUCUUACCCUUGCGUUUCUUGAAACUAGUGGUUUUAUUGACCAUCAACACUUGAUGUUCCUUUUUGAUUUCUACCUCCGCUGAUUUCAGCAUUGGAAAUACCUCAGGAAUAGUUUUCACCAUCCCCUGCAUAUUGUAGUUCAUCACAAAGCUCUUGUAGCUUGGUGGGAGCGUCUGAAGGAUUCUGUCAACGACCGCAUCAUCCGGGAGGUUAACUCCCAGCCGAGACAAGCGGUUGUGCAACCCAGACAUUUUGAGUAUGUGCUCGCUGACAGAACUAUUCUCCUCCAUCUUACAACUGUAGAACUUGUCGGAGACUUCAUAUCUCUCGACCCGGGCAUGAGCUUGGAAAACCAUUUUCAGCUCUUGGAAGAUCUCAUAUGCUCCGUGUUGCUCAAAACGCUUUUGGAGCCCCGGUUCUAAGCUGUAAAGCAUGCCGCACUGAACCAGGGAGUAAUCAUCACUACGCAACUGUCAGACGUUCAUAACGUCUUGAGUUGCUGGGAAAACGGAUGCUUCAACUAGCGGUGCAUCUAGGACAUAUGCUCUUUUUGCAGCUAUGAGGAUGAUCCUCAACUUCCGGACCCAGUCCGUAUAGUUGCUGCCAUCGUCUUUCAGCUUGGUUUUCUCUAGGAACACGUUGAAGUUGAGGGCAAUAUUAGCGUGGGCCAUUUGAUCUACAAGACAUAUUGCAAAAGGUUUAGACUAAGUUCAUGAUAAUUAAGUUCAUCUAAUCAAAUUAUUUAAUGAACUCCCACUCAGAUAGACAUCCCUCUAGUCAUCUAAGUGAUCCAUGAUCCGAGUCAACUAGGCCGUGUCCGAUCAUCACGUGAGACGGAUUAGUCAUCAUCGGUGAGCAUCUUCAUGUUGAUCGUAUCUUCUAUACGACUCAUGUUCGACCUUUCGGUCUCUUGUGUUCCGAGGCCAUGUCUAUAAAUGCUAGGCUCGUCAAGUCAACCUAAGUGUUUUUGCAUGUGUAAAUCUGUCUUACGCCCGUUGUAUGUGAAUGUUAGAAUCUAUCACACCCGAUCAUCACGUGGUGCUUCGAAACAACGAAAUUUCGCAAUGGCGCACAGUUAGGGGGAACACUUUCUUGAAAUUAUUAUGAGGGAUCAUCUUAUUUACUACCGUCGCUCUAAGCAAAUAAGAUGCAGAAACAUGAUAAACAUCACAUGCAAUCAAAUAGUGACAUGAUAUGGCCAAUAUCAUUUUGCUCCUUUUGAUCUCCAUCUUCGGGGCGCCAUGAUCAUCAUCGUCACCGGCAUGACACCAUGAUCUCCAUCAUCAUGAUCUCCAUCAUCGUGUCUUCAUGAAGUUGUCACGCCAAUGAUUACUUCUACUACUAUGGCUAACGGUUUAGCAAUAAAGUAAAGUAAUUACAUGGCAUUAUUCAAUGACACGCAAGUCAUACAAUAAUUAAGACAACUCCUAUGGCUCCUGCCGGUUGUCAUACUCAUCGACAUGCAAGUCGUGAUUCCUAUUACAAGAACAUGAUCAAUCUCAUACAUCCCAUAUAUAUCAUUCAUCACAUCCUUUUUGGCCAUAUCACAUCACAAGGCAUAUGCUGCAAAAACAAGUUAGACGUCCUCUAAUUGUUGUUGCGUGUUUUUACGUAGCUGCAAUAGGGUUCUAGCAAGAACGUUUCUUACCUACGUCAAAACCACAACGUGAUAUGCCAAUUUCUAUUUACCCUUCAUAAGGACCCUUUUCAUCGAAUCCGAUCCGACUAAGGUGGGAGAGACAGACACCCGCUAGCCACCUUAUGCAACUGCGUGUCAGUCAGUGGAACCUGUCUCACGUAAGCGUACGUAUAAGGUCGGUCCGGGCCGCUUCAUCCCACGAUACCACCAAAACAAGAUAAGACUAGUAGUGGCAAGUAAUUUGACAAAAUCUACGCCCACAACAAAACUGUGUUCUACUCGUGCAUAGAAACUACGCAUAGACCUAGCUCUGAUACCGCUGUUGGGGAUCGUUGCAGAAAAUAAAUAAAAAUUAUGCAUCACCAAGAUCAAUCUAUGGAGUCAUCUAGCAACGAGAGAGAGAUGCAUCUACAUACUCUUGUAGAUCGCGAGCGGAAGCGUUCAAGAGAACGGGGUUGAAGGAGUCGUACUCAUCGUGAUCCAAAUAACCGAUGAUCCUAGCGCCAAACGACGGCACCUCCACGUUCAACACACGUAAGGAGUGGAGACGUCUCCCAUGCCUUGAUCUAGCAAGGAGGAGGGAGAGGUUCAGGAAGAGAUCUCCAGCAGUAGCACGACCGCGUGGUGGUGAUGGAGAGGCAGUACUCCGGCAGGGCUUCGCCAAGCUUCUUCGGAGGAGGAGAGGUGUUGGGGAGGGGAGGGGUUGCGCUUUGGAGGUGUGUGUGCAGCCCUCCCCUCGCCCCUCUAUUUCUAGGGGGGAGGAAGGGGGCCGGCCCCCUCUAGAUGAGAUCUAGAGGGGGGCGGCCAAGGGGGGACUUGCCCCCAAGCAAGGGGGGCGCCCCCUUGAGGGUUUCCCCCCAACCCUAGACGCAUGGGCCCAAGGGGGGUUGCACCCAGCCCUCUAAGGGCUGGUUCCCUUCCCUCUAUGGCCCAUGAGGCCCUCCAGGAGAGGUGGCCCCUCCCGGUGGUCCCUCGGAACCCUUCCGGUGGCCCCGGUACAAUACCAGCAUGCCCCCGAACCUUUCCGAUGACCAUAUUACAACUUCCCAUAUAUAAAUCUUCACCUCCGGACCAGUCCGGAACUCCUUGUGACUUCCGGGAUCUCAUCCGGGACUCCGAACAACAUUCGGUUAUCACAUACAAGUCUUCCUAAUAACCCUAGCAUCACUGAACCUUAAGUGUGUAGACCCUACGGGUUCGGGAAUCACGCAGACAUGACCGAGACAACUCUCCGGCAAAUAACCAACAGCGGGAUCUGGAUACUCAUGUUGGCUCCCACAUGUUCCACGAUGAUCUCAUCGGAUGAACCACGAUGUCGAGGAUUCAAGCAAUCCCGUAUACAAUUCCCUUUGUCACAAGGUACGUUACUUGGCCGAGAUUCGAUCGUCGGUAUCCCAAUACCUCGUUCAAUCUCGUUUCCGGAAAGUCACGUUACUCGUUCCGUAAUGCAUGAUCCCGUGACCAACCACUUGGUCACAUUGAGCUCAUUAUGAUGAUGCAUUACCGAGUGGGCCCAGAGAUACCUCUCCGUCAUACGGAGUGACAAAUCCCAGUCUCGAUCCCUGUCAACCCAACAGACACUUUCGGAGAUACCUGUAGUAUACCUUUAUAGCCACCCAGUUACGUUGUGACGUUUGGCGCACCCAAAGCACUCCUACGGUAUCCGGGAGUUACACGAUCUCAUGGUCGAAGGAAAUGAUACUUGACAUUAGAAAAGCUCUAGCAAACGAACUACAUGAUCUUGUGCUAUGCUUAGGAUUGGGUCUUGUCCAUCACAUCAUUAUCCUAAUGAUGUGAUCCCGUUAUCAAUGACAUCCAAUGUCUAUAGUCAGGAAACCAUGACUAUCUGUUGAUCAAUGAGCUAGUCAACUAGAGGCUCACUAGGGACAUGUUGUGGUCUAUGUAUUCACACAUGUAUUAUGAUUUCCGGAUAACACAAUUAUAGCAUGAACAAUAGACAAUUAUCAUGAACAAGGAAAUAUAAUAAUAACCAUUUUAUUAUUGCCUCUAGGGCAUAUUUCCAACAGUCUCCCAUUUGCACUAGAGUGAAUAAUCUAGUUACAUUGUGAUGAAUCGAACACCCAUAGAGUUCUAGUGUUGAUCAUGUUUUGCUCGCGGAAGAGGUUUAGUCAAAGGAUCUGCGACAUUCAGAUCCGUAUGCACUUUGCAAAUAUCUAUGUCUCCAUCUUGAACAUUUUCACGAAUGGAGUUGAAGCGAUGCUUGAUAUGCCUGGUCUUCUUGUGAAACCUGGGCUCCUUGGCGAGGGCAAUGGCUCCAGUGUUGUCACAGAAGAGAGUCAUCGGCCCCGACGCAUUGGGAAUAACUCCUAGGUCGGUAAUGAACUCCUUCAUCCAGAUUGCUUCAUGUGCUACCUCCGAGGCUGCCAUGUAUUCCAUUCAAAAUAUACACGUAUCCGGUUUGUGACUUAGAGUCAUCCAGAUCUGUGUCGAAGCUAGCGUCGACGUAACCCUUUACGACGAGCUCUUCGUCACCUCCAUAAACGAGAAACAUAUCCUUAGUCCUUUUCAGGUACUUCAGGAUAUUCUUGACCGCUAUCCAGUGUUCCAUGCCGGGAUUACUUUGGUACCUUCCUACCAAACUUACGGCAAGGUUUACAUCUGGUCUGGUACACAGCAUGGCAUACAUAAUAGACCCUAUAGCCGAGGCAUAGGGGAUGACACUCAUCUUUUCUCUAUCUUCUGUCGUGGUCGGGCAUUGAGCCGAGCUCAAUUUCACACCUUGCAACACAGGUAAGAACCGCUUCUUGGACUGAUCCAUAUUGAACUUCUUCAAUAUUUUAUCAAGGUAUGUGCUUUGUGAAAGACCUAUGAGGUGUCUCGAUCUAUCUCUAUAGAUCUUCAUGCCUAAUAUAUAAGCAGCUUCUUCAAGGUCCUUCAUUGAAAAACACUUAUUCAAGUAGGCCUUAAUGUUGUCCAAAAGUUCUAUAUCAUUUCCCAUCAAAAGUAUGUCACCUACAUAUAAUAUGAGAAAUGCUACAGAGCUCCCACUCACUUUCUUGGAAACGCAGGCUUCUCCUUAAGUCUGCAUAAACCCAAACGCUUUGAUCAUUUCAUCAAAGCGAAUGUUCCAACUCUGAGAUGCUUGCAGUAGCCCAUAGAUGGAGCGCUGGAGCUUGCAUACCUUGUUAGCAUUCUUAGGAUCGACAAAACCUUCCGGCUACAUCAUAUACAAUUCUUCCUUAAGGAAGUCGUUAAGGAAUGCCGUUUUGACGUCCAUUUGCCAUAUCUCAUAAUCGUAGAAUGCGGCAAUUGCUAACAUGAUUCGGACGGACUUUAGCUUCGCUACGGGUGAGAAGGUCUCAUUGUAGUCAACCCCUUGAACUUGUCGAUAACCCAUAGCGACAAGUCGAGAUUUAUAGAUGGUAACAUUACCAUCCGUGUCCGUCUUCUUCUUAAAGAUCCAUUUGUUUUCUAUCGCUUGCAGAUCAUCGGGAAAGUCUGUCAAAGUCCAUACUUUGUUUUCAUACAUGGAUCCUAUCUCGGAUUGCAUGGCUUCUAGCCAUUUGUUGGAAUCUGGGCCCGCCAUCACUUCUUCAUAGUUCGAAGGUUCACCGUUGUCUAACAAUAUGAUUUUCAGGACAGGGUUUCCAUACCAUUCUGGUGUGGAACGUGUCCUUGUGGACCUAUGAAGUUCAGUAGUAACUUGAUCCGAUCCUCUCUAGUCGGUGCAGGCACCACAGGAACAUCUUCCUGAGCUGCGUUACUUUCCGGUUUAAGAGGCGGUACUUCAUCGAGUUCUACUUUCCUCCCACUUAUUUCUUUCGAGAGAAACUCUUUCUCCAGAAAGGACCCGUUCUUGGCAACAAAGAUCUUGCCUUCAGAUCUUAGGUAGAAGGUAUACCCAAUGGUUUCCUUAGGGUAUCCUAUGAAGACGCAUUUUUCCAACUUGGGUUUGAGCUUUUGAGGUUGAAGUUUCUUGACAUAAGCAUCGCAUCCCCAAACUUUUAGAAACGACAGCUUAGGUUUCUUUCCAAACCAUAAUUCAUACGGUGUCGUCUCAACGGAUUUAGACGGUGCCCUAUUUAAAGUGAAUGUAGCUGUCUCUAAAGCGUAUCCCCAAAAUGAUAGCGGUAAAUCAGUAAGAGACAUCAUAGACCGCACCAUAUCCAAUAUAGUGCGAUUACGACGUUCAGACACACCAUUACGCUGAGGUGUUCCAGGCGGCGUGAGUUGUGAAACAAUUCCACAUUUCCUUAAGUGUGUCCCAAACUCAUGACUUAUAUAUUCUCCCCCACGAUCUGAUUGUAAGAACUUUAUUUUUCUGUCACAUUGAUUUUCUACCUCAUUCUGAAAUUCCUUGAACUUUUCAAAGGUCUCAGACUUGUGUUUCAUUAAAUAGACAUACCCAUAUCUACUUAAGUCAUCAGUGAGGGUGAGAACAUAACGAUAGCCACCGCGAGCCUCAACGCUCAUUGGACCGCACACAUCAGUAUGUAUAAUUUGUUUGAAAUAUGCCCUAGAGGCAAUAAUAAAAUGGUUAUUAUUAUAUUUCUUUGUUCAUGAUAAUUGUCUGUUAUUCAUGCUAUAUUUGUAUUAUUCGGAAAUCGUAAUACACGUGUUAAUACAUAGACCACAACAUGUCCCUAGUGAGCCUCUAGUUGACUAGCUCGUUGAUCAACAGAUAGUCAUGGUUUCCUGACUAUGGACAUUGGAUGUCAUUGAUAACGGGAUCACAUCAUUAGGAGAAUGAUGUGAUGGACAAGACCCAAUCCUAAGCAUAGCUUAAAGAUCGUGUAGUUCGUUUAGCUAGAGCUUUUCCAAAUGUCAAGUAUCAUUUCCUUAGACCAUGAGAUUGUGCAACUCCCGGAUACCAUAGGAGUGCUUUGGGUGUGCCAAACGUCACAACGUAACUGGGUGACUAUAAAGGUGCACCACGGCUAUCUCCGAAAGUGUCUGUUGGGUUGGCACAAAUCGAGCCUGGGAUUUGUCACUCCGCAUGACGGAGAGAUAUCUCUGGGCCCACUUGGUAAUGCAUCAUCAUAAUGAGCUCAAUGUGACCAAGUGUCUGGUCACGGGAUCAUGCAUUACAGUAUGAGGAAAGUGACUUGCCGAUAAUGAGAUUAAACGAGGUAUUGGGAUACCAACGAUCGAGUCUCGGGCAAGUAACGUAACGAUUGACAAAGGGAAUUGUAUACAGGGUUGAUUGAAUCCUCAAUAUCGUGGUUCAUCCGAUGAGAUCAUCGAGGAGCAUGUGGGAGCCAACAUGGGUAUCCAUAUCCCGCUGUUGGUUAUUGACCGGAGAGGCGUCUCGGUCAUGUCUGCAUGUCUCCCGAACCCGUAGGGUCUACACACUUAAGGUUCGGUGACGCUAGGGUUGUAGAGAUAUGAGUAUGCAGUAAACUGAAAGUUGUUCGGAGUCCCGGAUGAGAUCCCGGACGUCAUGAAGAGUUCCGGAAUGGUCCGGAGGUAAAGAAUUAUAUAUAGGAAGUCAGGUUUCGGCCAUCGGGAAAAUUUCGGGGGUCACCAGUAUUGUACCAGGACCACCGGAAGGGUCCCGGGGGUCCACCGGGUGGGGCCACCUAUCCCGGAGGGCCCCAUGGGCUGAAGUGGGAGGGGAACCAGACCCUAGUGGGCUAGUGCGCCCCGCCUUGGGCCCCGCCUGCGCCUAGGGUUGGAAACCCUAGGGGUGGGGGGCGCCUCCACUUGCCUUGGGGGGCAAGGCACCCCCCUUGGCCGCCGCCCCCCCUAUGAGAUCCCAUCUCCUAGUGCCGGCGCCCCCCUAGGGGCCCUAUAUAAAGCGGGGGAGGGAGGGCAGCCGCACCCUUGUACUUGGCGCCUCCCUUCCCCCUUGCUACACCUCUCCCUCUCGCGGACGCUUGGCGAAGCCCUGCCGAGAUCACUGCUGCAUCCACCACCACGCCAUCGUGCUGCUGGAUCUUCAUCAACCUCUCCUUUCCCCUUGCUAGAUCAAGAAGGAGGACACGUCUCACUAACCGUACGUGUGUUGAACGCGGAGGUACCGUCUGUUCGGCGCUAGGAUCUCCGGUGAUUUGGAUCACGACGAGUACAACUCCCUCAACCCCAUUCUCUUGAACGCUUCCGCUCGAUCUACAAGGUUAUGUAGAUGCACUCCUCUCUAUUGUUUCUAGAUGAAAUCAUAGAUUGAUCUUGGUGAAACCGUAGGAAAUUUUUUAUUUUCUGCAACGUUCCCCAACAGUGGCAUCAUGAGCUAGGUCUAUGCGUAGUUCUCUUUGCACGAGUAGAACACAAAUCUGUUGUGGGCGUUGAUGUUGUCAACUUUCUUUCCAUUACUAGUCUUAUUUUGCUUCAGCAGUAUUGUGGGAUGAAGCGGCCCGGACCGACCUUACAUGUACGCUUACGUGAGACAGGUUCCAUCGACUGGCAUGCACUUGUCGCUUUAUUUAAGGAAAUAAAACACUAUGUAAUUGAUUUACUUUAUCACUAAGUGGUAGCGAUAGUCGUAGAAGAAAUGGUUGGCGAGACGAUCACGACGCUACGAUGGAGAUGAAGGUGUCAAGCCGGUGACGAUGGAGAUCAUGACGUUACUUUGGUGAUGGAGAUCAUGAGCACAAGAAGAUGAUGGCCAUUUCAUGUCACAUAUUUUGAUUGCAUGUGAUGUUUAUUUUUUAUGCAUCUUAUUUUGCUUAGUACGGCGGUAGCAUUAUAAGAUGACCCCUUACUAAAUUUCAAGGUAUAAGUGUUCUCCCUCAGUAUGCACCGUUGCGAAAGUUUUUCGUGCUGGGACACCACGUGAUGAUCGGGAGUGAUAGGCUCUACAUUCAAAUACAACAGGUGCAAGCCAGAUUUGCACACGCGGAAUACUCGGGUUAAACUUGACGAGCCUAGCAUAUUCAGAUAUGGCCUUGGAACACUGAAGACCGAAAGGUCGAACGUGAAUCAUAUAGUAGAUAUGAUCAACAUAGUGAUGUUCACCAUUGAAGACUACUCCAUCUCACGUGAUGAUCGAACAUGGUUUAGUUUAUUUGGAUCACGUAUCAUUUAGAGGACUAGAGGGACGUCUAUCUAAGUGGGAGUUCUUAAGUAAUAUGAUUAAUUGAACUUAAUUUAUCAUGAACUUAGUCCUGAUAGUUUUUUUGCAUAUCUAUGUUGUAGAUCAAUGGCAUGUGCUGCCGUUCCUUUGAAUUUUAAUGCGUUCCUAGAGAAAGCUAAGUUGAAAGAUGAUGGCAGCAACUACACGGAAUGGGUUCGUAACUUGAGGAUUAUCCUCAUUGCAGCACAAAAGAAUUAUGUCCUUGAUGCACCUCUCGGUGCAAGGCCUGCUGCAGGAGCAGAAGUUGACGUUGUGAACGCCUGGCAAGCUCGAUCUGAUUACUACUCGUUAGUUCAGUGUGCCAUGAUUUAUGGCUUAGAAUCGGGACUUCUAAGACAUUUUGAACGUCAUGGACCAUAUGAGAUGUUCCAGGAGUUGAAGUUAAUAUUUCAAGCAAAUGCCCGAGUUGAGAGAUAUGAAGUCUCCAACAAGUUCUAUAGCUGCAAGAUGGAGGAGAAAAGUUAUGUUAGUGAGCUCAUACUCAGAAUGUCUGGGUACCAUAAUCACUUGACUCAGCUGGGAGUUAAUCUUCCAGAUGAUGGUGUCAUUGACAUAUUUCUUCAACCACCGCCACCAAGCUACAAAGGCUUCAUGAUGAACUACAGUAUGCAAGGGAUGGAAAAGACUAUUCCGGAGCUCUUCGCGAUGCAAAAGGCCGCUGAGGUAGAAAUCAAGAAGGAGCAUCAAGUGUUGAUGUUUAACAAGACCACUAGUUUAAAAAAAGUGCAAGGGUAAAAAGAAGGGGAACUUCAAAAAGAUUGACAAGCAAGUUGUCACUCCCGGGAAGAAACCUAAAAAUUGUUCCGAGCCUGAAACCGAGUGCUUCUACUGCAAAGGGACUGGUCACUUGAAGUGGAACUGCACCAAGUAUUUGGCGGAUAAGAAGGAUGGCAAGGUGAACAAAGGUAUAUUUGAUAUACAUGUUGUUGAUGUGUACCUUACUAAUUCUCGUAGUAGUGCCUGGGUAUUUGAUACUAGUUCAGUUGCUCAUAUAUGUAGCUUGAAGCCAGGACUAUGGAUUAAACAAAUAUUGGCUAAGGACGAGGUGACGAUGCGCGUCGGAAAUGGUUCCAAGGUUCAUGUGAUCACCGUCGGCACGCUACCUCUACAUCUACCUUUGGGAUUAGUUUUAGACCUGAAUAAUUGUUAUUUGGUGCUAGUGUUGAGCAUGAAAAUUAUAUCUAGAUCUUGUUUAGCGAGACGGUUAUUCAUUUAAAUCAGAGAAUAAUGGUUGUUCUAUCUAUAUGAGUAUCUUUUAUGGUCAUGCACCCUUGAAGAGUGGUCUAUUUCUGUUGAAUCUUGAACGUGAUGAUACACAUAUUCAUAAUAUUGAUGCCAAAAGAUGCAAAGUUGAUAAUGAUAGUGCAACUUAUUUGUGCACUGCCGUCUAGGUCAUAUCGGUUUAAAAUGCAUGAAGAAACUCUCCAUAAAGAUGGGCUUUUGGAAUCACUUGAUUAUGAAUCAUUUGAUACUUGCAAACCGUCCUUUAUGGGCAAGAUGACUAAAACUCCGUUCUCCGGUACAAUGGAAAAAGCUAGUGACUUAUUGGAACUAAUACAUACCGAUGUAUGCGGUCCAAUUAGUGUUGAUGCUCGUGGCGGGUAUUGUUAUUUUCUGACCUUCAUAGAUGUUUUAAGUAGAUAUGGGUAUAUCUACUUCAUGAAAUACAAGUCUGAAACAUUUGAAAAGUUCAAAGAAUUUCAGAGUGAAGUGGAGAAUCAUCGUAACAAGAAAAUAAAUUUUCUACGAUCUGAUCGUGGAGGAGAAUAUUUGAGUUACGAGUUUGGCCUUCAUUUAAAACAAUGUGGAAUAGUUUCACAGCUCACGCCACCUGGAACACCACAACAUAAUGGUGUGUUCGAACGUCGUAACCGCACUUUAUUGGAUAUGGUGCGAUCUAUGAUGUCUCUUACCGAUUUACCACUAUCGCUUUUGGGUUAUGCAUUAUAUAGAGCUACAUUCACUUUAAACAGGGCACCGUCAAAAUCCGUUGAAAUGACACCGUAUGAACUGUUGUUUGGCAACAAACCUAAGUUGUCGUUUCUUAAAGUUUGGGGAUGCGAUGCUUAUGUCAAACGGCUUCAGCCCGAUAAGCUCGAACCCAAGUCAGAGAAAUGUGUCUUCAUAGGAUACCCUAAGGAAACAAUUGGGUACGCCUUCUACCACAAGUCCGAAGGCAAGAUUUUUGUUGCUAAGACGGAACCUUUCUAGAGAAGGAGUUUCUCUCGAAAGAAGUGAGUGGGAGGAAAGUAGAACUUGAUGAGGUAAUUGUACCUGCUCUCAAUUUGGAAAGUAGCUCAUCCAAGAAAACUGUUCCCGUGAUGCCUACACCAACUAGAGAGGAAGUUAAUGAUAAAGAUCAUGAAACUACAGAUCAAGUUGCUACAAAACCUCGUAGGUCUGGCAGAUCACGAUCCGCACCAGAGUGGAAUGGUAAUCCUGUUCUGAAAGUCAUGUUACUUGACCAUGACGAACAUAUGAACUAUAAAGAAGCUAUGAUGAGACCAUAUUCCGAUAAAUGGCUUGAGGCCAUGAAAUCUGAGAUAGGAUCCAUGUAUGAGAAAAAGUGUGGACUUUCGUGGAUCUGCACGAUGAUCGAAGACCCAUAGAGAAUAAAUGGAUCUUCAAGAAGAAGACUGACGCUGAUGGUAAUGUCACUAUCUAUAAAGCAUGACUUGUUGCAAAAGGUUUUUGACAAGUUCAAGGAGUUGACUACGAUGAGACGUUCUCAACCGUAGAGAUGCUUAAGUCUGUUCGAAUCAUGUUAGCAAUUGCCGCAUUUUAUGAUUAUGAAAUCUGACAAAUGGAUGUCAAAACUGCAUUCCUUAAUGGAUUUCUUAAAGAAGAGUUGUACAUGAUGCAACCAGAAGGUAUUGUCGAUCCUAAAGGUGCUAACAAAGUGUGCAAGCUCCAGCGAUCCAUUUAUGGACUGGUGCAAGCAUCUUGGAGUUGGAAUAUACGCUUCAAUGAGGUGAUCAAAGCAUAUGGUUUUAUACAAACUUUUGGAGAAGCCUGUAUUUACAAGAAAGUGAGUGGGAGCUCUAUAGAAUUUCUAAUAUUAUAUGUGGAUGACAUAUUGUUGAUCGGAAAUGAUGUAGAAUUUUUGGAUAGCAUAAUACUCCCUCUGUCUGAAAAUACUUGUCGGAGGAAUGCAUGCAUCUAGACGUAUUUUAGUUCUAGAUACAUCCAUUUUUAUGCAUUUCUCCGACAAGUAUUUUCGGACGGAGGGAGUAGGAUACUUGAACAAGAGUUUUUCAAUGAAAGACCUCGGGGAAGCUGCUUACAUAUUGGGCAUCAAGAUCUAUAGAGAUAGAUCAAGAUGCUUGAUAGGACUUUCACAAAGCACAUACCUUGGUAAAGUUUUGAAAAAGUUCAAAGUGGAUCAGUCAAAGAAAGGAUUCUUGCCUGUGUUACAAGCUGUGAAAUUGAGUUAGACUCAAUGCCCGACCACUGCAGAAGAUAGAGAGAAAAUGAAAGUCAUUCCCUAUGCUUCAGCCAUAGAUUCUACCAAGUAUGCUAUGAUGUAUACCAGACCUGAUGUGUGCCUUGCUAUAAGUUUAGCAGGGAGGUACCAAAGUAAUCUAGGAGUAGAACACUGGACAAUGGUCAAGAACUUCCUAAAGUACCUGAAGAGGACUAGGGAUAUGUUUCUCAUUUGUGGAGGUGACAAAGAGCUUGUCAUAAAUGGUUGCGUCAACGCUAGCUUUGACAUUGAUCCGGAUGACUCUCAGUCACAAUCCGGAUGCGUAUUUUUAUUGAAUGGUGGAGUUGUCGGUUUUUUCAAGCAGAGUGUCGUGGUAGGAUCUAUGUGUGAAGCGGAGUACAUAGAGUCUUCGGAAGCAGCAAAUGAAGGAGUCUGGAUGAAGAAGUUCAUAUCCGAUCUAGGUGUAAUACCUAGUGCAUCGGGUCCAAUGAAAAUCUUUUGUCACAAUACCAGAGCAAUUGCCUUGGCGAAGGAAUCCAGAUAUCACAAAAAGACCAAACACAUCAAGAGACGCUUCAACUCCAUCCGAGAUUUGGUCAAGGAGGAAGACAUAGAGAUUUAUAAUAUACAUACGGAUCUGACUGUUGCAGACCCGUUGACUAAGCCUCUUCCACGAGCAAAACAUGAUCAACACCAAGACUCCAUGAGUGUUAGAUUCAAUAUAAUGUGGAUUAUUGACUCUAGUGCAAGUGGGAGACCGAAGGAAAUAUGCCCUAGAGGCAAUAAUAAAGUUGUAUUUUAUAUUUACUUAUUCCUGAUAAAUGUUUAUUAUUCAUGAUAGAAUUGUAUUAACCAGAAACUUGGUACAUGUGUGGAUACAUAGACAAAACAAUGUGUCCCUAGUAUGCCUCUACUAGACUAGCUCGUUGAUCAAAAGAUGGUUAAGUUUCCUAGCCAUAGACAUGAGUUGUCAUUUGAUAACGGGAUCACAUCAUUAGUAGAAUGAUGUGAUGGACAAGACCCAUCCGUUAGCUUAGCAUAAUGAUUGUUCAGUUUUAUUGCUACAACUUUGUUCGUGUCAAAUAUAUAUUCCUCCGACUAUGAGAUUAUGCAACUCUCGGACACCGGAGGAAUGCCUUGUGUGCUAUCAAACAUCACAACAUAAUUGAGUGAUUAUAAAAAUGCUCUACAGGUAUCUCCAAAGGUGUUUGUUGGGUUGGCAUAGAUCGAGAUUAGGAUUUUUCACUCCGAGUAUCGGAUAGGUAUCUCUGGGCCCUCUCGGUAAUGCACAUCAUAUGAAGCCUUGCAAGCAAUGUGACUAAUGAGUUAGUUACGAGAUGAUGCACUACGGAACGAGCAAAGAAACUUGCAUGUAACGAGAUUGAACUAGGUAUGAAGAUACAGACGAUCGAAUCUUGGGCAAGUAACAUAACAAUGACAAAGGGAAUAACUAUAUUGACAUUGCAAUUCGACCAAUAAAGAUCUUCAUAGAAUAUGUGGGAACCAAUAUGAGCAUCUAGGUUCUGCUACUGCUUAUUGACUGGAGAGGUGUCUCGGUCAUGUCUACAUAGUUCUCGAACCCGUAGGGUCUACACGCUUAACAUUCGCUGACGGUUGGUAUUAUAUGAGUUAUGUGUUUUUGUGACCGAAGGUUGUUGGGGGUCCCGGAUGAGAUCACAGACAUGACGAGGUGACUCGAAAGGGUCGAGAUAUGAAGAUUGAUAUAUUGGAUGGUUACAUUCGGAUACCGGAAUGGUUUCGGGAAGUUUCGGAUAAUUUUCGGANNNNNNNNNNNNNNNNNNNNNNNNNNNNNNNNNNNNNNNNNNNNNNNNNNNNNNNNNNNNNNNNNNNNNNNNNNNNNNNNNNNNNNNNNNNNNNNNNNNNNNNNNNNNNNNNNNNNNNNNNNNNNNNNNNNNNNNNNNNNNNNNNNNNNNNNNNNNNNNNNNNNNNNNNNNNNNNNNNNNNNNNNNNNNNNNNNNNNNNNNNNNNNNNNNNNNNNNNNNNNNNNNNNNNNNNNNNNNNNNNNNNNNNNNNNNNNNNNNNNNNNNCCCUCUCCUUCUCCCUUUCCCUUUCCCCCAUUGCUACCCCAGAAAAAAGGAAAAGGGGGGGGGGCGAAUCCUACUAGUAGUGGAGUCCUGGUAGGACUCCCCCCCUUGGCGCACGCCCCUGGUGGCCGGCCUCCUCCUCCCUCCUUUAUAUACGGGGGCAGGCGGCACCCCAAAGGCACAACAUUAUCUUAGUCGUGUGCGGUGCCCUCCUCCACCGUUUACUCUUCCGAUAGUAUCAUCAUAGUGCUUAGGCAAAGCCCUGCACGGAUCACAUCAACAACACCGUCAUCACGCCAUCGUGCUGACGGAACUCAUCGACUCCAUCGACACUCUGCUCAAUCAAGAGAUCAAGGGAUGUCAUCGAUCUUAACGUGUGUAGAACUCGGAUGUGUCGUACGUUCGGUCCUUGAUCGGUUGAUUCGAGAAGACAUUCGACUACAUCAACUGCGUUAAGUUAACGCUUCCACUUUCUGUCUAUGAGGGUACGUGGACACACUCUCCCCCUCUCAUUUCUAAGCAUGUCCUAGAUAGAUCUUGCGUGAGCGUAGGAAUUUUUUUGAAAUAGCAUGCUACAUUUCCUAACAAUUUGCUCCUUUACCGGAUCUCUAAAGGGACUAAUCAAUGAUGUUUGGCUGACCCUAAAGUGCAUGGAGCAAGUAUGAAUGAACUCAACACUUUCAUGAUCUAAGGAAUUGUGUAAACGUUUAACUUUCUGGUAUUAUCUGUUGGGGAACAUAGCAGAAAUUCAAAAUUUUCCUACGAUUCACCAAGAUCUAUCUAUGGAGAAACUAGCAACGAGGGGAAGGACAGUGCAUCUACAUACCCUUGUAGAUCCCUAAGCGGAAGCGUUCAAGAGAACGGGGUUGAUGGACUCGUACUCGUCGUGAUCCAAAUCACCGAUGAUCCUAGCGCCGAAUGGAUGGCACCUCUGCGUUCAACACACAUACCAUUGGGAGAGACAUCUCCUCCUUCUUGAUCCAGCAAGGGGAUGAGAGGUUGAUGGAGAUCCAGCAGCACGACGGUGUGGUGGUGGAAGUAGCGGGAUCCCGGCAGGGCUUCGCCAAGCGCAAGCGGGGAGGAAGAGGUGUCACGGGAGAGAGGGAGGCGCCAGGGACUCAGGUGCGGCUGACCUCCCUCCCCUCCACUAUAUAUAGGGGCCUAGGGGGCGCCGGCCCCUUGUAGAUCCCAUCUAGGGAGGGUGGCGGCGGCCCUAGGGGUGGCUUGGCCUCCAAGACAGGUGGAGGCGCCGCCACCCCUUAGGGUUUCUAACCCUAGGCGCAUGGGAGGCCUAAGGGGGGUGAACCAGCCCACCAGGGGCUGGUUUCCACGCCCCCUCAGCCUAUGGAUCCCUCGGGAUAGGUGGCCCCACCCGGUGGACCCCCGGGACCCUUCCGGUGGUCCCGGUACAAUACCGAUGACCUCCGAAACUUUCCCGGUGGCCGAAACUGGACUUCCUAUAUAUAAAUCUUUACCUCCAGACCACUCCGGAACUCCUCGUGACGUCCGGGAUCUCAUCCGGGACUUCGAACAACAUUAGGGUUACCGCAUACUAUUAUCUCUACAACCCUAGUCUCACCGAACCUUAAGUGUGUAGACCCUACGGGUUCGGGAACCAUGGAGACAUGACCGAGACGUUCUCCGGUCAAUAACUAACAGCGGGAUCUGGAUACCCAUGUUGGCUCCCACAUGUUCCACGAUGAUCUCAUCGGAUGAACCACGAUGUCAAGGACUCAAUCAAUCCCGUAUACAAUUCCCUUUGUCAAGCGGUAUUGUACUUGCCCGAGAUUCGAUCGUCGGUAUCCCGAUACCUUGUUCAAUCUCGUUACCGGCAAGUCUCUUUACUUGUUCCGUAACACAUCAUCCUGUGAUCAACCCCUUGGUCACAUUGUGCACAUUAUGAUGAUGUCCUACCGAGUGGGCCCAGAGAUACCUCUCCGUCAACCGGAGUAGCAAAUCCCAGUCUCGAUUCGUGCCAACCCAACAGACACUUUCGGAGAUACCUGUAGUGCACCUUUAUAGCCACCCAGUUACAUUGUGACUUUUGGUACACCCAAAGCAUUCCUACGGUAUCCGGGAGUUGCACAAUCUCAUGGUCUAAGGAAAUGAUACUUGACAUUAGAAAAGCUUUAGCAUACGAACUACACGAUCUUUGUGCUAGGCUUAGGAUUGGGUCUUGUCCAUCACAUCAUUCUCCUAAUGAUGUGAUCUCGUUAUCAACGACAUCCAAUGUCCAUGGUCAGGAAACCGUAACCAUCUAUUGAUCAACGAGCUAGUCUCAUAGAGGCUUACUAGGGACAUGGUGUUGUCUAUGUACCCACACAUGUAUCUGAGUUUCCUAUCAAUACAAUUAUAGCAUGGACGAUAAACGAUUAUCAUGAACAAGGAAAUAUGAUAAUAACAACUAAUUUAUUAUUGCCUCUAGGGCAUAUUUCCAAUAGUCUCCCACUUGCACAAGAGUCAAUAAUCUAGUUCACAUCACCAUGUGAUUAACAUUGAUAGGUCACAUCGCCAUGUGACCAACAUCCAAAGAGUUUACUAGUGUCUAAACUAGUUCACAUCACCAUGUGAUUAAGACUCAAUGUGUUCUGGGGUUUGAUCAUGUUUUGCUUGUGAGAGAGGUUUUAGUCAACGGGUCUGCAACAUUCAGAUCCGUAUGUAUUUCACAAUUCUCUAUGUCAUAUUGUAAAUGAUGCUUCCACGCUCCACUUGGAGCUAUUCCAAAUGGUUGCUCCACUAUACGUAUCCGAUUUGCUACUCAGAGUCAUUCGGAUAGGUGUUAAAGCUUGCAUCGACGUAACCCUUUACGCCGAACUCUUUAUCACCUCCAUAAUCGAGAAACAUGUCCUUAUUUACUCCAAGGACAAUUUUGACCGCUGUCCAAUGAUCCACUCCUGGAUCAUUCUUGUACCCCUUGACUGACUCAUGGCAAGGCACACUUCCGGUGCGGUACACAACAUAGCAUACUAUAGAGCCUACGUCUGAAGCAUAGGGGACGACCUUCGUCCUUUCUCUCUCUUCUGCCGUGGUCGAGCUUUAACUCUUAACUUCAUACCUUACAACUCAGGCAAGAACUCCUUCUUUGACUGAUCCAUCUUGAACACCUUCAAUAUCAUGUCAAGGUAUGUGCUCAUUUGAAAGUACCAUUUAGCAUUUUUUUGAUCUAUCCUCAUAGAUCUUGAUGCUCAAUGUUCAAGCAGCUUAUUCCAGGUUUUCUAUUGAAAAACACCUUUCAAAUAACCCUAUAUGCUUUCCAGAAAUUCUACAUCACUUCUGAUCAACAAUAUGUCAACAACAUAUACUCAUCAGAAAUUCUAUAGUGCUCCCACUCACUUCUUUGGAAAUACAAAUUUCUCAUAAACUUUGUAUAAACCCAAAAUCUUUGAUCAUCUCAUCAAAGUGUACAUUCCAACUACGAGAUGCUUACUCCAGUCCUUAGAAGGACUGCUAGAGAUUUGCAUACUUGUUAGCGUCUUUCAGGAUUGUCAAAACCUUCUGGUUGUAUCACAUACAACCUUUCCUCAAGAAAAAUGUCAAGGAAACAAUGUUUUUGACAUCCUAUAUGCAAGAUUUCAUAAAUAAUGCAGUAACUGCUAAUCCAAUUCCAACAGACUCUUAGCAUCACUACGAGUGAGAAAGCCUCACCGUAGUCAACUCCUUGAACUUGUCGGAAAACAUCUUUACGACAAGUCGAGCUUUCUUAAUGGUGAUACUUACCAUCAUCGUUUGUCUUCCUUUUAAAAUCCAUCUGUACCCAACGGCCUUACGACCAUCAAGUAUUUCUUCCAAAGUCAUGGAUCCUUUCUCGGAUUUUAUGGCCUCGAGCCAUUCGUCGGAAUCCGGGCCCACCAUCGCUUCUCCAUAGUUCGUAGGUUCAUUGUUGUCUAGCAACAUGACCUCCAAGACAGGAUUACGUACUACUCUGAAGCAGUACGCAUCCUCGUCGACCUACGAGGUUUGGUAGUGACUUGAUCCGAAGUUUCAUGAUCACUAUCAUAAGCUUCUACUUCAAUUGGUGUAGGUGCCACAGGAACAACUUCCUAUGCCCUGCUACACACUAGUUGAAGUGAUGGUUCAACAACCUCAUCAAGUCUCCACCAUCCUCCCACUCAAUUCUUUCGAGACAAACUUUUCCUCGAGAAAGGACCCAUUUCUAGAAACAAUUAUUUUUGCUUCCGGAUCUGAGAUAGGAGGUAUACCCAGCUGUUUUGGGUGUCCUAUGAAGAUGCAUUUUUAUCCGCUUUGGGUUCGAGCUUAUCAACCUGAAAACUUUCACAUAAGCGUCGCAGCCCCAAGCUUUUAAGAAACGACAACUUAGGUUUCUCCAAACCAUAGUUCAAACGGUGUCGUCUCAACGGAAUUACGUGGUGCCCUAUUAAAGUGAGUGCGGUUGUCUCUAAUGCCUAACCCAUGAAUGAUAGUGGUAAUUCGAUAAAAGACAUCAUGGUACGCACCAUAUAUAUCCAAUAGGGUGCAACUAUGAUGUUCGGACACACCAUCACACUAUGGUGUUCCAGGCGGUAUUAAUUGUGAAACAAUUUCCAUAAUGUCUUAAUUUCGCGCCAAAGCUCGUAACUCGGAUACUCAUCUCUAUGAUCAUAUCAUAGACAUUUUAUCCUCUUGUCACGAUGAUCUUCAACUUCACUCUGAAAUUACUUGAACUAUUCAAUAAUUUAGGCUUGUGUUUCAUCAAGUAAAUAUACUUAGUAUCUACUCAAAUCAUCCGUGAAGUAAGAACAUAACAAUAUACACUGCGUGCCUCAGCACUCAUUGGACUGCACACAUCAAAAUGUAUUACUUCCAACAAGUUGCUUUCUUGUUCCAUUUUACUGAAAACGAGGCUUUCAAUCAUCUUGCCCAUGUGGUAUGAUUUGCAUGUCUCAAGUGAUUCAAAAUCAAGUGAGUCCAAAUGGUCCAUUUGCAUGGAGUUUCUUCAUGCAUAUACACCAAUAGACAUGGUUCGCAUGUCUCAAACUUUUCAAAAACGAGUGAGUCCAAAGAUCCAUCAACAUGGAGCUUCUUCAUGCGUUUUAUACCAAUAUGACUUACAUGGCAGUGCCACAAGUAGGUGGUACUAUCAUUACUAUCUUAUAUCUUUUGGCAUGAACAUGUGUAUCACUACGAUCGAGAUUCAAUAAACCAUUCAUUUUAGGUGCAAGACUAUUGAAGGUAUUAUUCAAAUAAAUAGAGUAACCAUUAUUCUCCUUAAAUGAAUAACCGUAUUGCGAUAGACAUAAUCCAAUCAUGUCUAUGCUCAACGCAAACACCAAAUAACAAUUAUUUAGGUUUUAACACCAAUCUCGAUGGUAGAGGGAGCGUGCGAUGCUUGAUCACAUCAACCUUGGAAACACUUCCAACACAUAUCGUCAGCUCACCUUUAGCUAGUCUCCGUUUAUUCCGUAGCUUUUAUUUCGAGUUACUAACACUUAGCAACCGAACCGGUAUCUAAUACCCUGGUGCUACUAGGAGUACUAGUAAAGUACACAUUACCAUAAUGUAUAUCCAAUAUACUUCCGUCGACCUUGCCUGCCUUCUUAUCUACCAAGUAUCUAGGGUGGUUCUGCUUUAGUGUUCGUUCCUCUCAUUACAGAAGCACUUAGUCUCGGGUUCGGGUUCAACCUUGGGUUUUCACUAGAGCAGCAACUGUUUUGCCGUUUCAUGAAGUAUCCCUUCUUGCCCUUGCCCUUCUUGAAACUAGUGGUUUUACUAACCAUCAACAAUUGACGCUCCUACAUGACUUCUACUUUCGCGGUGUCAAACAUCGCGAAUACUUCAAGGAUCAUCGUGUCUAUCCCUGAUAUGUUAUAGUUCAUCACGAAGCUCUAGCAGCUUGGUGGCAAUGACUUUGGAGAAACAUCACUAUCUCAUCUGGAAGAUCAACGCCCACUCGAUUAAAGUGAUUGUUGUACUCAGACAAUCUGAGCACAAGCUCAAAGAUUGAGCUUUUCCUCCCUUAGUUUGCAGGCUAAGAAAAUCGUCGGAGGUCUUAUACCUCUUGACGUGGGUACGAGCCUGAAAUCCCAAUUUCAGCCCUCGAAACAUCUCAUAUGUUCCGCGACAUUUCGAAAACGUCUUUGGUGCCUCUACUCUAAACCAUUUAACUAAACUAUCACGUAGUUAUCAAAACGUGUAUGUCAGAUGUUCGCAACAUCCACAGACUACGUUUGAGGUCCAGCACACCGAGCGGUGCAUUAAGGACAUAAGCCUUCUACGAAGCAACGAGGACAAUCCUCAGUUCACGGACCCAAUCCGCAUAAUUGCUACUAUCAACUUUCAACUAUAUUUUUCUCUAGGAACAUAUCUAAAAAGAGUAGAACUAAAGCGUGAGCUACGACAUAAUUUGCAAAAACCUUUUGACUAUGUUCAGGAUAAUUAAGUUCAUCUUAUGAACUCCCACUCAGAUAGACAUCCCUCUAGUUAUCUAAGUGAUUACAUGAUCCGAGUCAACUAGGCCGUGUUCGAUCAUCACGUGAGACGGACUAGUCAUCAUCGGUGGACAUCUUCAUGUUGAUCGUAUCCACUAUACGACUCAUACUCGACCUUUCGGUCUCUUGUGUUCCGAGGCCAUGUCUGUACAUGCUAGGCUCGUCAAGUCAACCUAAGUGUUUCGCGUGUGUAAAUCUGGCUUACACCCGUUGUAUGUGAACGUUAGAAUCUAUCACACCCGAUCAUCACGUGGUGCUUCGAAACGACGAACUUUCGCAACGGUGCACAGUUAGGGGGAACACUUUCUUGAAAUUUUAAUGAGGGAUCAUCUUAUUUACUACCGUCGUUCUAAGCAAAUAAGAUGUAUAAACAUGAUAAACAUCACAUGCAAUCAAAUAGUGACAUGAUAUGGCCAAUAUCAUAUUGCUCCUUUUGAUCUCCAUCUUCGGGGCUCCAUGAUCAUCAUCGUCACCGGCAUGACACCAUGAUCUCCAUCAUCAUGAUCUCCAAUAUCGUGUCUUCAUGAAGUUGUCUCGCCAACCAUUACUUCUACUACUAUGGCUAACGGUUUUAGCGAUAAAGUAAAGUAAUUACAUGGCAUUAUUCAAUGACACGCAGGUCAUACAAUAAAUUAAGACAACUCCUAUGGCUCCUGCCGGUUGUCAUACUCAUCGACAUGCAAGUCGUGAUUCCUUUUACAAGAACAUGAUCAAUCUCAUACAUCACAUAUCAUUCAUCACAUUCUUUUUUGGCCAUAGCACAUCACAUAGCAUACCCUGCAAAAACAAGUUAGACGUCCUCUAAUUGUUGUUUGCAUGUUUUACGUGGCUGUUAUGGGUUUCUAGGAAGAACGUUUCUUACCUACGCAAAAACCACAACGUGAUAUGUCAAUUGCUAUUUACCCUUCAUAAGGACCCUUUUCAUCGAAUCCGAUCUGACUAAAGUGGGAGAGACUGGCACCCGCUAGCCACCUUAUGCAAUAAGUGCAUGUCAGUCGGUGGAACCUAUCUCACGUAAGAGUACGUGUAAGGUCGGUCCGGGCCGCUUCAUCCCACAAUACCGUCGAAACAAGAUUGGACUAGUAACAGUAAGCAUAUUGAACAAAAUCAACGCCCACAACUACUUUGUGUUCUACUCAUGCAUAGAAUCUACGCAAUAGACCUAGCUCAUGAUGCCACUGUUGGGGAACGUAGCAGAAAUUCAAAAUUUUCCUACGAGUCACCAAGAUCUAUCUAUUGAGAAACUAGCAACGAGGGGAAGGAGAGUGCAUCUACAUACCCUUGUAGAUCGCUAAACAGAAGCGUUCAAGAGAACGGGGUUGAUGGAGUCGUACUCGUCGUGAUCCAAAUCACCGAUGAACCUAGCGCCGAACGGACACCUCUGCGUUCAACACACAUACGGGUGGGAGAGACAUCUCCUCCUUCUUGAUCCAGCAAGGGGAGGAGAGGUUGAUGGAGAUCCAGCAGCACGACGGCGUGGUGGUGGAAGUAGCGGGAUCCCGGCAGGGCUUCGCCAAGCGCAAGCGGGGAGGAAGAGGUGUCAUGGGAGAGAGGGAGGCGCCAGGGACUCAGGUGCGGCUGACCUCCCUCCCCUCCACUAUAUAUAGGGGCCUAGGGGGGCGCCGGCCCCUUGUAGAUCCCAUCUAGGUAGGGGGGCGGUGGCCCUAGGGGUGGCUUGGCCUCCAAGACAGGUGGAGGCGCCCCCACCCCUUAGGGUUUCUAACCCUAGGCGCAUGGGAGGCCCAAGGGGGGCGCACCAGCCCACCAGGGGCUGGUUCCCACGCCCCCUCAGCCUAUGGAGCCCUCCAGGAUAGGUGGCCCCACCCGGUGGACCCCCGGGACCCUUCCGGUGGUCCUGGUACAAUACCGAUGACCCCCGAAACUUUCCCGGUGGCCGAAACUGGACUUCCUAUAUAUAAAUCUUUACCUCCGGACCACUCCGGAACUCCUCGUGACAUCCGGGAUCUCAUCCGGGACUCCUAACAACAUUCGGGUUACCGCAUACUAUUAUCUCUACAACCCUAGUGUCACCGAACCUUAAGUGUGUAGACCCUACGGGUUUGGGAACCAUGCAGACAUGACCGAGACGUUCUCCGAUCAAUAACCAACAGCGGGAUCUGGAUACCCAUGUUGGCUCCCACAUGUUCCAUGAUGAUCUCAUCGGAUGAACCACGAUGUCAAGGACUCAAUCAAUCCUGUAUACAAUUCCCUUUGUCUAGCGGUAUUGUACUUGCUCGAGAUUUGAUCGUCGGUAUCCCGAUACCUUGUUCAAUCUCGUUACCGGCAAGUCUCUUUACUCGUUCCGUAACACAUUAUCCCGUGAUCAACCCCUUGGUCAUAUUGUGCACAUUAUGAUGAUGUCCUACCGAGUGGGCCCAGAGAUACCUCUCCGUCAACCGGAGUGACAAAUCCCAGUCUCGAUUCGUGCCAACCCAACAAACACUUUCGGAGAUACCCGUAGUGCACCUUUAUAGCCACCCAGUUACAUUGUGACGUUUGGUACACCCAAAGCAUUCCUGCGGUAUCCGGGAGUUGCACAAUCUCAUGGUCUAAGGAAAUGAUACUUGACAUUAGAAAAGCUUUAGCAUACGAACUACACGAUCUUUGUUCUAGGCUUAGGAUUGGGUCUUUUCCAUCACAUCAUUCUCCUAAUGAUGUGAUCCCGUUAUCAACGACAUCCAAUGUCCAUGGUCAGGAAACCGUAACCAUCUAUUGAUCAACGAGCUAGUCUCUUAGAGGCUUACUAGGGACAUGGUGUUGUCUAUGUACCCACACAUGUAUCUGAGUUUCCUAUCAAUACAAUUAUAGCAUGGACGAUAAACGAUUAUCAUGAACAAGGAAAUAUGAUAAUAAUAACUAAUUUAUUAUUGCCUCUAGGGCAUAUUUCCAACAUUAUCAACCAAUAAUAUGUGACAAUAGUAUCUCAUAGCAAUAUCAAUCAAUUUGGGUUUGUUCAACACGAGCGUUCUUCUAAGAUUGUGUCCUCAAAGUUGUCGGCACUAACAUGCUUAUGAUUAAGAAAAUAUAACCAUCAUGCAACACUUGAGCUAGUCUUAGAGGCGAGACUAGAAAUCUAUUACCGUUUAAUAUUCCGCAUGGGCACAUGACUUUCCCUCUGACCUCGUGGUUAUCCCACUCCCGAGAACUAUUGCAGUUAUACCACGGAAUAUAAACAUUAAUUACAAACUUGGAGAUAGAUAAUAACUAUAAUUAUUUCCUCUAGGGCAUAUCUCCUACAAACAUAGGCAUACACAAAAACAUCUCAAGAUAGAAAAAUUGGAUUCAACCAAAUUUAGCGUAAGUUUACAACUCGUGCAUUCUCUCAAAAAUACAUAUAAGUCUGCAUAUAUCCAAAACAUAUAUGAGAAGAUCAAUGUGGAUAUAUCAUACCAAUAAAGGACAUUUAUGGUCACACUGUCCUGAUAGGGUACAAAUCCAUUUAGACCUAGGGGUGAUAAUGAAGUGAUGAUAUCGGGACCUAAAGUUUCAUAUCUCACUAAUGCCAAAUCACUCAUAUAAUUACAAACUACAUCAGGCAUGGCACUAUAUUCGCUAUCUUUGUCCCGAGUGCAAACUCCAACAAAAGGUAUAUGGUUGAUGUAAUGGAUAUCCUCUCAUAUAUCAAGAUCACAAUUUAUCUUGGUUAAUUCUAUUAGAAAUAAAGAUAUGACCAUGAUAUGACAUUAUGAUACUGGCUACUUACUUGAUCCCAACAAUGUCAUAUCAAUGACUAAAUUUGCUAGAAUAGCCUCCUCACAGGAUCUAUCAAAAUAGACUCUAAUGGAUACUUCCACCAAUCAUUAUCUAACAAGUACAUUAUAUGAGGCAUUGCAAAAUGUGCAUGGCUUAGCAGAAUGAUUGACCACAAUCAAAAUCAUAUGGCUAAGAUUCAUCAGAAUCACAUAUUAUUAUGCAACAAGAUAAUAUCACUUGUAUCAUUGAAAUACAUUUAGGUUAUAUGGAGAGUAAUAUCACAAACAAAUUAGUCAUAAAUUAUUAUCCACACAAAUCUUAUCCUAUAUACAUAAGAGAGUCAUCUCCACUAACUUAUUUAUCUCAACAUGUAAACAUGUCAGAUCACCAUACAAUUAUGGAUGAGAUAAAGCCCACCUUAGCAUGCAACCAUGCAUGGGAAAGACCCACAACCACAUGCAUCCUUGCAUGAGAAAAUAUUUCCAUUCUAUUAUUCUACUUAUAUUCAAUAAAAAUUUACAACUAUAUACAUAAUCAAAUAUAAUAAGUGGUAUAAUUUUUAAUUUGAUUCAUGUGUGAUAAUGUAAAAUUUUAUAUUCCACACAAUCAAAUCUCAUUGAAAUGUACUCCAAGCGAUUCCCGUAGCAGCAACACUUGGGGUAUCAUUUAGUAUACCUAAAUAUUGAUGUCCACUAUCUCAAUUCUCUCAACAUGCACACAUGUCUCAUCGCCCCACAUACUAUUUCUCUUAGCACACAUGUAAUUCUUAUUUACAUUCUCUCUCAACAUGCACACAUCCUAACUUAAAUCAUUCUAAUAUAUUUUCGACUAUAUAAUAAUCAAAUAGGACAAUAUAUUAUGUCUAUUUUAAUUUUUAUUUAAAUUUCAUGAAAAGUUUGCAACCAAUCUCAGCAGCAACACGUGGGGUAUCAUCAAGUUAUUAAGAAGUGAUAACAACAUAGCAGAAAUUAAGCCUUAAUUAAUGUGUUUCAUUAAUUUCUAACACUCCUCCUGAUCAAUGUUUGUCUUUGUGAAUACACAUCAUCUUGAUAAGGACUCCGCCUAGUAUGUGUUGGCCUUUAAAAAUGUUCAUCAUCUCCUUUCUAAGAAGGACUCCUGCAAAAAUCCCGUGGGAAAUAUAUGAGGAGAAUAGGAUCCACAAAAAGUUUAUCCUUUGGGGACGGCAUUCUUGGAGGUGCACUCGGCUUCGCGAGACCAGUGGACGGCAUAUUUGGUGGAGCGGUGCUUCAUCCUACACAUUGAUGGCGGCGGAUCUCGACGGCGUGGCGCAGUGCAGAUUCGGAGUUCGAUGUGCGAGGAUGGACUCGCGUAGGAGGACGACGCUGUCUGGCGUCGUGGUGGCGUCGAUGUCAGAGAGACCUGGCACGGUAGAUGCAACAGUAUAGCUCUGAAGAUGGAUUUGUGGCAGGUGGCUCAGGCGGCAUCAUACCCGGCAGACGUCCUAGUUGAGGAGUGCGUCGGACUGAUAGGUGCCCCAUACCCGGCAGACGUCUUGGUUGGGACCUCAGGUCUUAGAUGUUUAGGUUUGGCUGGGAUGUCUGUUUGGUAUUAGGCCCAGGCUAUCAGCGCCCCUUCAUCAACUGGAUAGGAGUAGCGACAUUUGUUGCUUAGACGGUGGUUUUAGUCUUACUAUUGUAUGACUUUAUAAGGUCUUAUGAGAAUAAUUAAUAAAAUGACCUUAUGCAUCACUCAGAUGCAAAGGCCGAGGGUCCUCCUCCUUUUUUUAAAAAACAAAAAGUUUAUCACUGUAAACGGAAGAGACAACAAAAUGAAGCUACGUGUGCUCAUCUACAACGAUUUGAGCUCCCAUGUGUACGGAUGCACUGGAACGUUUUGUCGUCCUGCAGCUUCAAUUGGCCCUGUAGUCAAAUGACUACACAACUUCAUAACCUUUUUAAAUGUAUAUACAAGUAAAAUUCCAUGGAUAACUUCCGAAAUACUACAAGAUUUAGAGAGGAAUUACCGUUGACAUGACAUCACAGGUUUAUAGUUCUGGUACCGCCACUGCUAUUGGCUAAUUGUGCCGACAGUCGGUGAAACGUGCUAAACGAAAUGGGCCGAGAAAGUGUGACGGGACAUCCUCCUCCAUGAUUCCUUUGUCUUCCUCGACGCCUCUCUCUUAAAUUUCUACCUAUUCCAGUGCACGCGUUGCCCUGUGUACGGCGAUGUCUUCCUCCAUGAUUCCGUCGUCUUCCUCGAUGUCCUUCCUUGACCUGGGCUGCAUAACCGUCUGUUCGUUUUUUCUUUUCAGCAUAUUCCACGGAUAUGCUGAGCACAAUCAUCUUUCUCUCCUCCCCUGUGACAUCCACUCAUUCAAUCAUGCUACGCCUGCAGCCACGUCUUCUUCUAGCCUCGUCCCCUUCACAGCUUGAUCUAACUGCAAGCUCUACAGUGUAUUACAAUUGUGUAGCUUAAUACAAUUAACUAAUAUGUAUAGCCUGCAUUUGGAUCAUACUCCCUUCGUCCGGAAAUACUUGUCAUCAAAAUAAAUAAAAGGGGAUGUAUCUAGAUGUAUCUUAGUUCUAGAUACAUCUCUUUUUAUCCAUUUUGAUGACAAGUAUUUUCGGACGGAGGGAGUAUAUGGAUGGAUUAAUACGACUAACUAAUAUGGAUGCUAGCUUGGUUCGUCCCUUGACUGAUUCGUCCCAUAUGGUUUUUGGAGUUAGGGGAAGAAGAUAAACAAUGCUACUGCUCGCAGCAAUGCAUUACGUAGAUUGCUUGGAACAAUGCUACUGUUAGGAGGCUUUGGAAUUUGGAACGAUCAGUGGAGCAGGUGUUCCUUUUUACCUUGCAGUUUACAUGUUAGAGAAUGUCUACUCUUUGAGGCAGAAAUUUACCAUGGAUCGAUGGUGUCUGCACUUGUUGCCGGCCACCAGCCUUCCAUAACUAUAGUACAAGUUUUGCAUGUAGUACUGGGCUCCUCAUGGCUGGACGCAAUCGCGAGCUCACGUGGAAGCAGUGGCCGCCAGGCCGGCUAUGCGACAUUUUCCUUUUUUUUGAACGAUGGCUAUGCGACAUUGACAGGCUAUGCCGUACGACGACAGUGAUGCCGUUUCUAUCAUGCAAGGGGCAACUUCUUCCGUCACGCAAGGGCCAAGUUCUGUGCGGAUCUAUCUGUGUAGCGCGUGAAAGCUGUGUUUACAUCUGAAGUAAUUUGCGUCCGUACCAAUCUGCACUCCAUAGUAUGCAACGGUAGGUUUCUUCUCGCAGUUUUGCUAAUUAAAUUAAAGAUCGUGUUAUCAUUCAAGAAAAAUAUGAAAGAUCUGUUGAUUUGCUUCAGAGGGAGCCAUAUGCCUAUUUUUUCUUGUUGGUGACGUGGUUGUAGUACGGUUGGUGUUAAUUUUGAUAUAAAGACAUAUUCUCUCUGUACCGAAAUACUUGUCGUUGAGGAGAACCAGCACAAGUUCCCCAGCGACAAAUAUUGUGGUACAGAGAAAGUAUAUAACAUCAAAAGUAAAACACAUGGGACUUGUAAAAUGCUACUAAUUUGAACUUGAGACACAAAGUUACGAAGCAUAUGCAUCCUUUUAGCACAUUAUUUCUCCGCCACGACGCAUCUAUCAGUAUACCCGCCUCCUCGGGUGUAACACUCGGCAAAGACGUUGCCAGGGUUUAUUUGGCCUUCGCCAAGUUUUUUUUUUUAUAUUGGCAUUCUUUGACUUUUCCUAUAGUAGUGAGUAAAGUGGCAACGAUAGAUAUAUGAAGAUAGUAACCGUGUAGACCUGAUGUGUACUGGAGACAGAAGAACCUGUAUAAGGUGAUAAGGAACUUUUUUUAAAGAUUAUUAAAAGGCAGCUCUGUAUUCAUAUCAUAGUCAUUGCAUACACUGUCUUGGAUGCAACCCGGAGUAAGGGCAUCUCCAACGCUGAUCCGUAAAUUUACUCCGCAUCCGUUCGCGGACAGGGAGGGACCAGUUUACUGACACAGAUGCUAAAGGCGACCAUCCGAUGCUGCCCGCAUACAUUUCAACAAUUGUUUCAACUAACCGGACGAAAUUCAUGAAACACGAUGCAAACAUGGCGGAUUUUUAUGUACAUUUCAAACAUUUUGGAGAAAAAAAAAAAGAAACCCGACCCUAGGCCUAUCCUAUGACGCCAGCGGUCGCCCACUUUCUUUGUAUUCCGCAACGGCGACCACGUCCUUCAUCUGUUGUCUCCAUUAGCACCGGUGGGGGAUUAAGACCCGUGAAGUGAAUGUGCGCUCUCCGACAAGAAAGAGUAGGACAUGGGAGACGGUCCGGCCCACAAGGGACACAAUGUCCUGCCGCCUCCCAUGCCUUACUCAUCCUCUGAGGAGUCCGCAACCUGCCCGUCGCCAGUGCCGGAGGACAUGAGGUCGGUGAUGGAUGUGACGGUCCGUCACUGUUCACCUACCACAUGCGCCCGCAAAAGUUAGACAUCGGCGCAUACGACACGCAGCUGGCGGUGUUCUUGUCCUCAGUUGCCAGCGCAUAUGCACGUGUUGCCGCCUCCGCGUCUGCCUAUGUCGGUUGUUCAUUGCGAGUAGCGCGUAGAGCAUGCGCGGCCUCAUAGAACGCUCUCUGCUCCGCAACGAAGUUUGGGUUAGCCGUGAACAUGGAGGCCACGGCCUCCUCGCUUGCGCGCUCACCGUAGAUCUGGCCCUCUGUCAGCUACUGUUGCUCGAAGAGGAACAUGGUGUACCUCUGCUCCUCUUGCGCCUACUGGAAUGCUGACAUAGGUGACGACCAAGCUGCUCCUCCUUUGCUAUGGCGGCGUCGUAGUGCGCUUGCACCUGCGCCAUGAUCAGGCCGGCAUGCACCAGCGCAGGGUUUGGCGUUGUGUUGUCGUUCGAGACCAUCUCCAUCGUGGAAUCGUCGUUGGAGACCUAGGGCAGGCUAGCCGGCAUGCCCUGCUCUAUCCGCUUGGUGCGGAGAGACUGCCAGGCGGCUGCAAGAGGGGCCACCUCGUGCUUCAUCUCCGACGAAAGACUAUGCCACAGAGCGUUCCCGCUCGCGAUCAUGGCGGAUGCGGAGCAAAGGAGGAGGAUGUUGAGCGGAAGUGUUAUGGUAUGGAGUUAGCCGGGUGUGGCUGCCUUUAAAUAGCAGAUUUCGCUGAGACCAAGCGUCUGGGCGCGUCAAUGCGCGGCGCCAGAAUUGGUUCCUCGGUCGGUGAGUGUGUUUAGUGGCAGCAUAUGGACGUACGGGCAUUGAAUGGGCGUGGUUGAUAUCUGUCCAUCCCGUACAACAAACGUCGCUCCGGCAUAGAACAGACGCGAACAUAGGGGACGCUGCGCCGACGGCUGUCUCAGCCGGUGCGUCGCUUUAAUAUGUUGGCCCCAGUAAGAGGCCGCGUUCGCUCUGGGCCAGCGUCAUUAUGGAGUGGCCGUUCUAUAACAGCAUGAAUGUGGGCACCGGUGGAGGGUUUUAGGUGGGACAGAGGAGUCAGGAGCGGGUCGUGACAAUGGUCCGGACGCCCCCAAAGUCCCCCCUCCCCACACUUUGUCUUUGAUUUGCGGGAAAAACACGUCUGAAUUGCUUGGGGCAUCAAUAUAGGACCGUGUUCAAUGUCACAACACGUCCGUACCAUGUGGUUUGAAUGUAUAGGGUCCGCAUCGGAGAUGCCCUAAGAGCAUCUCCAACAGAGGCGCUAAAAGUAGUCCGCGCUGAAAAAAUCGCUAAUUUAGCACGCGGAGCAUCUCCAGCAGACGCUGCAAAAGCCAGCACGCUGUAAAAUCCAUCCGGCGCGCUGGGAAUUUCUGCAUCACACGCGGGAUAUUUGUUGCGCGGCGUACAGCGCGCUGGACAAUGACGCGUGAAGACCAGCUGCUCCGCUCCGCUUCGUUCCCUCUGCUCGUUCCGUCGUUUCCUGCAGCUCGCCGCCGCCGGCCGCCGCCACUCCUCUGCGUGCUCGUCAUCUGCUCUUCCCGGCAUGGGGCGGAGCCGCCACUGCCCUUCUGCUCGCCGGCUGGAGCUUGCCGCCUCGAGUUCACCGGCCGGGAGCACGUGCCGGCCGGAGCCGCCGUUGCCCUUCUGCUCGCAGCCUCCCUGCAACUUGCCGCCUUGAGCUCUGUGGCCGAAGGCUAGCGUUGUUGGGGAACGUUGCAGAAAAUAAAAAAUUUCCUACGGUUUCACCAAGAUCCAUCUAUGAGUUCAUCUAAGCAACGAGUGAUAGGAGUGCAUCUACAUACCUUUGUAGAUCGCGAGCGGAAGCGUUCAAGAGAACGGGGAUGAUGGAGUCGUACUCGCCGUGAUCCAAAUCACCGAUGACCAAGUGCCGAACGGACAGCACCUCCGCGUUCAACACACGUACGGAGUGGAUGACGUCUCCUCCUUCUUGAUCCAGCAAGGGGGAAGGAGAGGUUGAGGAAGAAGGCUCCAGCAGCAGCACGACGGCGUGGUGAUGGUGGAGAGGCAGUACUCCGACAGGGCUUCGCCAAGCACUUAACAAAGGAGGAGAGGUGUUGGGGAGGGGAGGGGCUGCACCUUGGAUGUUAUGUGCAGCCCUCCCCUCGCCCCUCUAUUUAUAGGGGAAGGGGGAAGGGGGCCGGCCCCCUCUAGAUGAGAUCUAAAGGGGGGCGGCCAAGGGAGGGGGCUUGCCCUCCAAGCAAGGGGGGCGCCCCCACUGAUUUUUUUUUCAAAAUUGUGAUGAUUUUUAUAGCAAAUUCGGAAUCUAUACGUCCUCACGCACCAAAAUCAAAACUAGCACCCCGUUGGCCUCCAGUUGGCCGAAGAGGGGCUCUUCAGCCUACGGUUGACCGAAUUGGGCUCUUCAGCCUCCCGUUGGCCGAAGAGUGCCCCAACUGGGCUGAAAAGGACUAUUUGGUCUGUCGUAGGCCGAAGAGCACUCUUUGGUCAACCGUAGGCCGAAGAGUCCUUGGGCUCCAACUUUUCACGUUAAUGGGAGGCCGAAGCUGCAUGGGCCUUGGGCCCCAAAGAGUAAUCUUCGGCCUAUGGUUGACCAAAGAGUACUCUUCAGCCUACGGCAGACCAAAGAGUCAUUUUCGUCCCAGUUUGGGUACUCUUCGGCCAACGGGAGGCUGAAGAGCCCACUUCGGUCAAGCGCAGGCCGAAGAGCCCCUCUUCGGCCAACUAGAGGCCGACGGGGUGCUAGUUUUGAUUUUCUUGCAUGAAGACAUAUAGACUUCGAAUUUGCUAUAAAAAUCAUCAUAGUUUUGAAAAAAAAUCCCCCCACUAGGGUCCCCCCCAACCCUAGGCGCAUGGGCCCAAGGGGGGGCGCGCCCAGCCCUCCAGGGGCUGUUUUCCUGCCCCCUACGGCCCAUGAGUCCCUCCGGGAGGGGUGGCCCCUCCCGGUGGACCCCCCGGAACCCCUCCGGUGGCCCCGGUACAAUAUCGAUGUGCCCCCGAAACUUUCCGGUGACCGUAUGACAACUUCCCAUAUAUAAAUCUUUACCUCCGGACCAUUCCGGAACUCCUCGUGACGUCCGAGAUCUCAUCCGGGACUACGAACAACAUUCAGUAAUCACAUACAAGUCUUCCUAAUAACCCUAGCGUCACCGAACCUUAAGUGUGUAGACCCUACGGGUUCGGGAGACAUGCAGACAUGACUGAGACGGCUCUCCGGUCAAUAACCAACAGCGGGAUCUGGAUACCCAUGUUGGCUCCCACAUACUCCUCGAUGAUCUCAUCGGAUGAACCACGAUGUCGAGGAUUCAAACAACCCCGUAUACUAUUCCCUUUCUUAGAUGGUAUGUUACUUGCCCGAGAUUCGAUCGUCGGUAUCCCAAUACCUCGUUCAAUCUCGGUGCCGGCAAGUCACUUUACUCGUACCGUAAUGCAUGAUCCCGUGACCAAACACUUGGUCACUUUGAGCUCAUUAUGAUGAUGCACUACCGAGUGGGCCCAGUGAUACCUCUCCGUAAUACGGACUGACAAAUCCCAGUCUCGAUCCGUGUCAACCCAACAGACACUUUUGAAGAUACCUGUAGUGCACCUUUAUAGUCACCCAGUUACGUUGUGACGUUUGGUACACCCAAAGCACUCCUACGGUAUCCGGGAGUUACACGAUCUCAUGGUCUAAGGAAAAGAUACUUGACACUGGAAAAGCUCUAGCAAAACGAACUACACGAUCUUUUGCUAUGCUUAGGAUUGGGUCUUGUCCAUCACACCAUUCUCCAAAUAAUGUGAUCCCGUUGUCAACGACAUCCAAUGUCCAUAGUCAGGAAACCAUGACUAUCCAUUGACCAACGAGCUAGUCAACUAGAGGCUUUCUAGGGACGUAUUGUGGUCUAUGUAUUCACACAUGUAUUAUGAUUUCCGGAUAAUACAAUUAUAGCAUGAAUAAAAGACAAUUAUCAGGAACAAGGAAAUAUAAUAAUAAUCCUUUUAUUAUUGCCUCUAGGGCAUAUUUCCAACAGUCUCCCACCUGCACUAGAGUCAAUAAUCUAGUUGCAUUGUGAUGAAUCGAACACCCAUAGAGUUCUGGUGUUGAUCAUGUUUUGCUCGCGGAAGAGGUUUAGUCAACGGAUCUGCGACAUUCAGAUCCGUAUGUACUUUGCAAAUAUCUAUGUCUCCAUCUUGAACAUUUUCACGGAUGGAGUUGAAACGACGCUUCAUGUGCCUGGUCUUCUUCUGAAACCUGGGCUCCUUGGCAAGCGCAAUAGCUCCAGUGUUGUCACAGAAGAGUUUGAUCGGCCCCAACGCAUUGGGAAUGACUCCUAGGUCGGUGAUGAACUCCUUCACCCAAAUUGCUUCAUGCGCUGCCUCCGAGGCUGCCAUGUACUCUGCUUCACAUGUAGAUCCCGCCACGACGCUCUGCUUGCAGCUGCACCAGCUUACUGCCCCACCAUUCAACAUAUACACGUAUCCGGUUUGUGACUUAGAGUCAUCCAGAUCUGUGUCGAAGCUAGCGUCGACGUAACCCUUUACGACGAGCUCUUUGUCACCUCCAUAAACGAGAAACAUGUCCUUAGUCCUUUUCAGGUACUUCAGGAUAUUCUUGACCGCUGUCCAGUGUUCCUUGCCGGGAUUACUUUGGUACCUUCCUACCAAACUUACGGCAAGGUUUACAUUAGGUCUGGUACACAGCAUGGCAUACAUAAUAGAUCCUAUGGCUGAGGCAUAGGGGAUGACGCUCAUCUCUUCUUUAUCUUUUGCCGUGGUCGGGCAUUGAGCCGACCUCAAUCUCACACCUUGCAAUACAGGCAAGAACCCUUUCUUGGACUGAUCCAUUUUGAACUUCUUCAAAAUCUUAUCAAGGUAUGUGCUUUGUGAAAGACCUAUGAGGCGUCUCGAUCUAUCCCUAUAGAUUUUGAUGCCUAAUAUGUAAGCAGCUUCUCCAAGGACCUUCAUUGAAAAACACUUAUUCAAGUAGGCCUUAAUGUUGUCCAAGAAUUCUACACCAUUUCCCAUCAAAAGUAUGUCAUCUACAUAUAAUAUGAGAAAUGCUACAGAGCUCCCACUCACUUUCUUGGAAACGCAGGCUUCUCCAUAAGUCUGCAUAAACCCAAACGCUUUGAUCAUCUCAUCAAAGCGAAUGUUCCAACUCCGAGAUGCUUGCACCAGCCCAUAAAUGGAUCGCUGGAGCUUGCAUACUUUGUUAGCAUUCUUAGGAUCGACAAAACCUUCCGGCUGCAUCAUAUACAGCUCUUCCUUAAGAUAACCGUUAAGGAAUGCCGUUUUGACGUCCAUCUGCCAUAUCUCAUAAUCAUAGUAUGUGGCAAUUGCUAACAUGAUUCGGAUGGACUUAAGCUUCGCUACGGGAGAGAAAGUCUCAUCGUAGUCAAUCCCUUGAACUUGUCGAUAACCCUUAGCAACAAGUCGAGCUUUAUAGAUGGUGACAUUUCCAUCCGCGUCCGUCUUCUUCUUAAAGAUCCAUUUGUUUUCUAUCGCUCGCCGAUCAUCGGGCAAGUCAGUCAAAGUCCAUACUUUGUUUUCAUACAUGGCUUCUAGCCAUUUGUUGGAAUCUGGGCCCACCAUCGCUUCUUCAUAGUUCAAAGGUUCACCGUUGUCUAACAACAUGAUUUCCAGGACAGGGUUGCCAUACCACUCUGGUGUGGAACGUGUCCUUGUGGACCUACGAAGUUCAGUAGCAACUUGAUCCGAAGUACCUUGAUCAUCAUCAUUAAUUUCCUCUCCAGUCGGUGAAGGCACCGCAGGAACAUUUUCCUGAGCUGCGCUACUUUCCGGUUCAAGAGGUAGUACUUCAUCGAGUUCUACUUUCCUCCCACUUACUCCUUUUGAGAGAAACUCCUUUUCCAGAAAGGAUCCGUUCUUGGCAACAAAGAUCUUGCCUUCGGAUCUAAGGUAGAAGGUAUACCCAAUGGUUUCCUUAGGGUAUCCUAUGAAGACGCAUUUUUCCGACUUGGGUUCGAGCUUUUCAGGUUGAAGUUUCUUGACAUAAGCAUCGCAUCCCCAAACUUUUAGAAACGACGGCUUAGGUUUCUUCCCAAACCAUAAUUCAUACGGUGUCAUCUCAACAGAUUUAGACGGUGCCCUAUUUAAAGUGAAUGUAGCUGUCUCUAGAGCGUAUCCCCAAAAUAUAGCGGUAAAUCGGUAAGAGACAUCAUAGAUUGCACCAUAUCCAAUAGAGUGCGAUUACGAUGUUCGGACACACCGUUACGCUGAGGUGUUCCAGGCGGCGUGAGUUGUGAAACGAUUCCACAUUUUCUUAAGUGUGUACCAAAUUCGUGACUUAAAUAUUCUCCUCCACGAUCUGAUCGUAAGAAUUUUAUCUUUCGUUCACGUUGAUUCUCUACCUCAUUCUUAAAUUCCUUGAACUUUUCAAAGGUCUCAGACUUGUGUUUCAUCAAGUAGACAUACCCAUAUCUACUCAAGUCAUCUGUGAGAGUGAGAACAUAACGAUAUCCUCCGCGAGCCUCAACGCUCAUUGGACCACACACAUCAGUAUGUAUGAUUUCCAAUAAGUUGGUUGCUCGCUCCAUUGUUCCGGAGAACGGGGUCUUGGUCAUUUUUCCCAUGAGGCAUGGUUCGCAUGUGUCAAAUGAUUCAUAAUCGAGAGACUCUAAAAGUCUAUCAGCAUGGAGCUUCUUCAUGCACUUGACACCAAUGUGACCAAGGCAGCAGUGCCACAAGUAUGUGGGACUACCGUUAUCAACUUUACAUCUUUUGGUAUUCACACUAUGAAUAUGUGUAACAUUACGUUCGAGAUUCAUUAAGAAUAAACCAUUGACCAUCGGGGCAUGACCAUAAAACAUAUCUCUCAUAUAAAUAGAAUAACCAUUAUUCUCGGAUUUAAAUGAGUAGCCAUCUCGCAUCAAACGAGAUCCAGAUACAAUAUUCAUGCUCAAACUUGGCACUAAAUAACAAUUAUUGAGGUUUAAAACUAAUCCCGUGGGUAAAUGUAGAGGUAGCGUGCCGAUGGCGAUCACAUCGACCUUGGAACCAUUCCCGACGCGCAUCGUCACCUCGUCCUUCGCCAGUCUCUGCUUAUUUCGCAGCUCCUGCUGUGAGUUACAAAUAUGAGCAACGGCACCGGUAUCAAAUACCCAGGAGUUACUACGAGUACUGGUAAGGUACACAUCAAUUACAUGUACUACCUCCGUCUAGGUGAAUAAGUCAUUCGUGUAGUUCUAGGUCAUCGAUUUGAGCAAUUAAAUAUAUGUUAUAUGUCAUGAAAAGUAUAUCACUAGAUUUCUACACGGAUGUAGUUUCUAAAUAUAUAUAUUUUGUUACAUAUAAUACAUAUUUAGAUAGUUAAAUCAUCGACCUAGAACUACGCGAAUGACUUAUUCACCGAGACGGAGGUAGUAUAUCAAAUAUACCUUUAGUGUUGCCGGCCUUCUUGUCCGCUAAGUAUUUGGGGCAGUUCCGCUUCCAGUGACCCUUCCCUUUGCAAUAAAAGCACUCAGUCUCAGGCUUGGGUUCAUUCUUUGACUUCUUCCCGGCAACUGGCUUACCGGGCGCGGCAACAUCUUUGCCGUCCUUCUUGAAGUUCUUCUUACCCUUGCCCUUCUUGAACUUAGUGGUCUUAUUGACCAUCAACACUUGAUGUUCUUUCUUGAUUUCAACCUCUGCUGACUUCAGCAUUGAAAAUACUUCAGGAAUGGUCUUCACCAUCCCCUGCAUAUUGUAGUUCAACACAAAGCUCUUGUAGCUUGGUGGGAGCGACUGAAGGAUUCUGUCAAUGACCGCCUCGUCCGGGAGGUUGAUCUUCAGCUGGGACAGGCGGUUAUGCAACCCAGACAUUUUGAGUAUGUGCUCACUGACAGAACUGUUUUCCUCCAUCUUACAACUAUAGAACUUGUCGGAGACUUCAUAUCUCUCGACCCGUGCAUGAGCUUGAAAAAACAUUUUCAGCUCCUCGAACAUCUCAUAUGCUCCGUGUCGCUCAAAACGCUUUUGGAGCCUCGGUUCUAAGCUGUAAAGCAUGCCGCACUGAACGAGGGAGUAAUCAUUAGCACAUGACUGCCAAGCGUUCAUAACGUCUUGGUUUUCUGGGAUGGGUGCUUCACCUAGCGGUGCUUCUAGGACAUAAUCUUUCUUGGCUGCUAUGAGGAUGAUCCUCGGGUUCCAGACCCAGUCCGAAUAGUUGCUGCCAUCAUCUUUCAGCUUGGUUUUCUCUAGGAACGCGUUGAAGUUCAUGUUGACAUGUGCGUUGGCCAUUUGAUCUACAAGACAUAUUUUGCAAAGACUUUAGACUAAGUUCAUGAUAAUUAAGUUCAUCUAAUCAAAUUAUUUAAUGAACUCCCACUCAGAUUGACAUCCCUCUAGUCAUCUAAGUGUUACACGAUCCGAGUCGACUAGGCCGUCUUCGAUCAUCACGUGAGACGGACUAGUCAUCAUCGGUGAACAUCUCCAUGUUGAUCGUAUCUUCCAUACGACUCAUGUUCGACCUUUCGGUCUCUUGUGUUCCGAGGCCAUGUCUGUACAUGCUAGGCUCGUCAAGUUAACCCUAAGUGUUUAUGCAUGUGUAAAACUGUCUUACACCCAUUGUAUGUGAACGUAAGGAUCUAUCACACCCGAUCAUCACGUGGUGCUUCGAAACGACGAACUUUAGCAACGGCGCACAGUUAGGGGGAACACUUUCUUGAAAUUAUUAUAAGGGAUCAUCUUAUUUACAACCGUCGUUCUAAGUAUACAAGAUGCAUAAACAUAAUAAACAUCACAUGCAAUUAUAUAAUAGUGACAUGAUAUGGCCAAUAUCAUAUAGCUCCUUUGAUCUCCAUCUUCGGGGCUCCAUGAUCAUCUUCGUCACCGGCAUGACACCAUGAUCUCCAUCAUCAUGAUCUCCAUCAUCGUGUCUUCAUGAAGUUGUCACGCCAAUGACUACUUCUACUUUUAUGGCUAACGCGUUUAGCAAUAAAGUAAAGUAAUUUACAUGGCGUUCUUCAAUGACACGCAGGUCAUACAAAUAAAAAAGACAACUCCUAUGGCUCCUGCCGGUUGUCAUACUCAUCGACAUGCAAGUCGUGAUUCCUAUUACAAGAACAUGAUCUCAUACAUCACAAUAUAUCAUUCAUCAUUCAUCACAACUUCUGGCCAUAUCACAUCACAUGACAAUUGCUGCAAAAACAAGUUAGACGUCCUCUAAUUGUUGUUGCAUCUUUUACGUGGCUGCAAUUGGGUUCUAGCAAGAACGUUUUCUUACCUACGAAUAACCACAACGUGAUUUUGUCAACUUCUAUUUACCCUUCAUAAGGACCCUUUUCGUCGAAUCCGCUCCAACUAAAGUGGGAGAGACAGACACCCGCUAGCCACCUUAUGCAACUAGUGCAUGUCAAGCGGUGGAACCUGUCUCACGUAAGCGUACGUGUAAGGUCGGUCCGGGCCGCUUCAUCCCACAAUACCGCUGAAGCAAAAUAAGACUAGUAGCGGCAAGCAAGUUGACAAGAUCUACGCCCACAACAAAAUUGUGUUCCACUCGUGCUAUAGAGAACUACGCAUAGACCUAGCUCUGAUGCCACUGUUGGGGAACGUUGCAGAAAAUAAAAAAUUUCCUACGGUUUCACCAAGAUCCAUCUAUGAGUUCAUCUAAGCAAUGAGUGAUAUGAGUGCAUCUACAUACCUUUGUAGAUCGCAAGCGGAAGCGUUCAAGAGAACGGGGAUGACGGAUUCGUACUCGUCGUGAUCCAAAUCACCGAUGACCAAGUGCCGAACGGACAGCACCUCCGCGUUCAACACGCGUACGGAGCGGAUGACGUCUCCUCCUUCUUGAUCCAGCAAGGGGGAAGGAGAGAUUGAGGAAGAAGGCUCCAGCAGCAGCACGACGGCGUGGUGAUGGUGGAGAGGCAGUACUCCAACAGGGCUUCGCCAAGCACUUAACGAAGGAGGAGAGGUGUUGGGGAGGGGAGGGGCUAUGCCUUGGAUGUUAUGUGCAGCCCUCCCCUCGCCCCUCUAUUUAUAGGGGAAGGGGGAAGGGGGCCGGCCCCCUCGAGAUGAGAUCUAGAGGGGGGGGCGGCCAAGGGAGGGGGCUUGCCCCCCAAGCAAGGGGGGCGCCCCCACUAGGGUUCCCCCCCAACCCUAGGCGCAUGGGCCCAAGGGGGGCAGCCCUCCAGGGGCUAUUUCCCUGCCCCCUACGGCCCAUGAGGCCCUCCGAGAGGGGUGGCCCCUCCCGGUGGACCCCCCGGAACCCCUCCGGUGGCCCCGGUACAAUACCGAUAUGCCCCCGAAACUUUCCGGUGACCGUAUGACAACUUCCCAUAUAUAAAUCUUUACCUCCGGACCAUUUUGGAACUCCUCGUGACGUCCGGGAUCUCAUCCGGGACUCCGAACAACAUUCAGUAAUCACAUACAAGUCUUCCUAAUAACCCUAGCGUCACCGAACCUUAAGUGUGUAGACCCUACGGGUUCGGGAGACAUGCAGACAUGACCGAGACAGCUCUUCAGUCAAUAACCAACAGCGGGAUCUGGAUACCCAUGUUGGCUCCCACAUACUCCUCAAUGAUCUCAUCGGAUGAACCACGAUGUCGAGGAUUCAAACAACCCCGUAUACUAUUCCCUUUGUCAGACGGUAUGUUACUUGCCCGAGAUACGAUCGUCGGUAUCCCAAUACCUCAUUCAAUCUCGUUGCCGGCAAGUCACUUUACUCGUAUCGUAAUGCAUGAUCCCGUGACCAGACACCUGGUCACUUUGAGCUCAUUAUGAUGAUGCACUACCGAGUGGGCCCAGUCAUACCUCUCCGUAAUACGGAGUGACAAAUCCCAGUCUCGAUCCGUGUCAACCCAACAGACACUUUCGGAGAUAUCUGUAGUGCACCUUUAUAGUCACCCAGUUACGUUGUGACGUUUGGUACACCCAAAGCACUCCUACGGUAUCCGGGAGUUACACGAUCUCAUGGUUUAAGGAAAAGAUACUUGACACUGGAAAAGCUCUAGCAAAACGAACUACACGAUCUUGUGUUAUGCUUAGGAUUGGGUCUUGUCCAUCAUAUCAUUCUCCUAAUGAUGUGAUCCCGUUGUCAACGACAUCCAAUGUCUAUAGUCAGGAAACCAUGACUAUCCGUUGACCAACGAGCUAGUCAACUAGAGGCUUUCUAGGGGCGUAUUGUGGUCUAUGUAUUCACACGUGUAUUACGAUUUCCGGAUAAUACAAUUAUAGCAUGAAUAAAAGACAAGUAUCAUGAACAAGGAAAUAUAAUAAUAAUCCUUUUAUUAUUGCCUCUAGGGCAUAUUUCCAACAAGCGUUGCAAGCGGAGCUCGCGGUUUCAGAUCGAUUGCAAGCCAGCUGAUAGGGAAGCCAAGCUAGCUAGCUCGUGUUUGUGCAUCAAGCUAGCUCGCGUGUGGUGGCCGGGAUUUCAACGAUCCAACAAUUGGGGACCUAAUUGCGUUUUUGUUUUGAUCAGAUGGAUUUAUCUGUAAAUGUUAGGGACCUGUUUGUUGUAGAUAUAUUUGUGAUGCUUUAUUUUUUUAGUGCGUCUGCUGGACCGUUGCGCGCCGUCCGGUACGCGCUAUAUUUUUGUGCGUCUGCUGGACUGAAUCUGCCAUGGCGCGCUAAAAUUACUAAAAUGACGCUGUAAAAUUAUUUUAGCGCGUUGCUUUUUUGGGCGUCUGUUGAAGAUGCUCUAACAGCAUGCAAGAGAGAGUAAGAACAAAGCUCUGUCCUCGCAGAUUUCUGUGGUCGAAAGCCACAGAACCACAAUCAAAAUAUUUCAAGAAAAUUUAAGUCAGUCUUGGAUUUGUCCUACAAGUGUAAUAAUUGCCCUGUGCGGAUAUGUCAUGUGGAACACAAAUGUGUGCAGUGGUGCCCCCAUGUGUCUCAAACUUUAUCAUCCCGCUCAUGAUGGCAUGCAUGCAUGCAAAGCAGAUUGCCAAGUAAGGUGCCAAAUCUGCACCUAUAAAUAGAGGUGCUACGAGCUCUGGCGAACAACAACUACAACAUAGCUUUACACACAACCAUAAGACAGAAGUGAGAGAGCUUUGCGGCAAACCAUAGAAGCAACCAUGAAGAACACCAAGCUCGUGGCGAUCCUUGUCCUCCAGGCCAUCAUGGUCAUGGGAAUCCUCGCACACGUGAAUGGUUGGUGGUUGUUCAUGCUUGUUUAUUCUAUUUGUUUCCCUGACAGAUUGAAUGCCCUUCUGUGAUUACAUUGAGUCUUAUUAUAUCUUAUGUGAUUAACUAAUUGUGAUGUCAUGCCAUGCAUGUGUGCAGCCGAUUACUUCCCGAAGUGCUGCAACAACUGCAGGUCCUUCUCGGGGGUCGACGUCUGCGACGACGCACACCCCCAGUGCCCCAAGGGCUGCUCGGCCUGCCGCGUGGUGACGCCGAGCCCUCACAAGACGUUCCGGUGCGCCGACAUGAAGAGCACCGUCGACGGCACCUGCGGCGGGCCAUGCAAGAAGCACUGAUCCGUUCAGGGCUUCAGGCUCAGACGUGGUGUGCCGUCUAAAAUAAAGCUCAGAUGAUGAGCCAGCUUGUCACAGUGUUUGUGCGUGCCUGUGGCUCCACCUUGCAUACCGACAAUACAUACGCUGUUGUCGGUCGUCGUUGUUUCAUCACCGUCAUUGUUCUUCGUUUUAAUUUCUUCUUCAAGAGUUGUCUGUUGUUGCUCGCCUUUCAGGUGCCUGUUGUAUCAUCCGCGAAUAAAAACGUGUGUUGGUUGUGUGUCUCAGCUUAAAAUGCCUUUGGUCAUGUCACGCCAUUUUCUUAGGGACAUGGCUUUAAUAUCUUUCUACUUGUCUGCACUGUAGAGAACUCUUAUUGUCCUACUAUUCUCUCUCCCAAAAUUCGAAAUU